AAAACGUUAAGGUCACGAAAGCUUUUAUUGUAUCUUCCUAAGGAUUGUUAAUUAGUCACAAGACUUUCAACCGUCACCGAUGCUGUCAGUUUCACUUGCCAUUAUAAUAUCUCUAUUUUAAACAUUUUAUUAUUAUUUUCCGUGAAUCAAAUUUCAUAACAUUUUCUCUAUUAUUAUUAUAAAUAAAUAUGUGGAAUGCUUUACUUUCUUUAUAUUUUACUUUCAUUAUAUUUUACUUUAAUUAACAUUAUGCUUUUGGUGUAAUUUGGAUCAGCGUAGAUGUUAACUUUUUUUGAUAAUAUUAUUAUACUAAUAACUGUGAAAUGAAAAUAGAAAAUCAUCAUUAAAAAAAUAAUAUUAAAAAGAGUGUAUAUAAACAUUAAAUAAAUGUCUAUGAUAAUUUGACUAAAAAAAAUGUCUAAAUGAUAAAAAUAAAAAAUAUAUUUAUAUUAAAAAUAAAAUUUUAAAAUUUUAAAUGCAUUUUUAUUAAAAAAAUUAAAAUUAUUUGAUAAUAACUUUUUUUUUAACCAACUGAUACUAUUAUUGAUUUGAAGAAGUAAUAAAUGUGGUUACCAGUCUCAAAAGAAGGAAAUAAAAACUGUCAAAAUAUAAUUGGACACCAAAACGGUGCCUUGAGAAAGCAAAAAUAAACACAAUUAAAAACUAUUCCAGAAGCUUGUAAAGUAAAAUGAAUUGGCAGAAAUGAAACUUAGCUCUGGUAACCCUUCUUCUCCCUCAUUUAAACCAAAACCCCCUUGUAUCAGCCAUUGAAGAGACCCAUUCCCUCCCAGAAUCAAAUCUUUCUAGAGCCACAGUCUCUGACAAAAUCUCGAGUUCAUCGGGCAAUCAAAAUCACUGAGCCCGGACUCUACCUCUUCAUCUAUCCUCCAUAACCAUCGUUUCGUCUCUCUUGAUUCACCAGGUUUUCCACUGCAGGCGGUACCUUCUCUAUCCAGUAUCGAGGGUGCUAAAAUCGGAUUCCUUCCUUUGCCAUCUCAUGAGUAGCGUUGUUGGCUUCCCUAGGUACGUGCUUGAAACACAAUCUCCUAAACUUGAAAACUCUCCCCUUGAUUUCUUUAAUCAAACUGCUAAUACACGAUCGAUCUUCUUCUGCAGAGUUCAGUUUUCGUAUAAUAGUAAGCGCAUCUCCUUCAACACAAACAUCCUAAAAACCCAGCUCUUCUGCCAUUACAAUAGCUUGUAAACAUGCCCGUGCCUCAUCCAUUAAUGGAUCUAAAAUAUUAUCCCAUGGAAAGUUACAGGCUGCCAUAGGCAAACACUCUUUAUCUCGUGCAAUGAUACCUGAAAUAGAGCUUCUUGUGAUUCGGUUAAAUGAGGCGUCGAAAUUAAUUUUGAUGGUGUCAUUAUCCGGCGGUUGCCAGACUGAGUCUUUAAUUUCAUGUGUAUUUUGUAAUAUCUCCCCCAUACUAGAAAUUUCUGCAUAGUAAGCCUUGACAAAUCCAACAACUUCAUGUACCUGCUCUCUGACUCCUUCAUGAUAUAGAUUGUUGCGAUUAUACCAGAUGGCCCAGUAAGCGAUAGAUUUAAUGUUGCAUGCUUCCAGACUCGUAUUUUCAAAAUCCGCUACUAACCAUGUUUUCCAAUUGGCUUGUCUGUUGCAUGUUGAAAAUGGCAUCUCCAAACCCCGCAAAACCUGCUGUGUGAAGGGACACUCCCUAAAAAGAUGGUACACCGACUCCUCCUCAGAUCUGCAUACCGGACAUAAAGGAUUGACAGCCAAUUGGCGAGCUUUUAGAUUAUGCAAAGUGGGUAAAUAGUUGUUAGCAAUUCUCCACAUAAAAAUACGAAUUUUGCUUGGCACCUGGAGCUCCCAUAAUUUUGUAAAAAAAUUAGCAGGAAGUUCAUUAUGUAUUCUAGUACCCCCCCUCUGUAAUUAGCCAUCUGUAUCCGCUCUUAACUGUAUAUGUCCCAGUAUUAUCCCCUCGCCAUACCAAUGCAUCCUGUGGUCUACUGUUUGCCAAUGGAAUUGUGAGAAUGCGCUUCAACUGUUCCUCUUCGAAUAAUGAUUGAAUAAUGUCUGGCUUCCAGGUAUUAUUUUCCUUAUUAAUUAAGUCCGAGACUUGAGUAACUCGUAAACCCAUAUUCUGACAUCUGAUUCUACCACUGCCAAGUCUUGGAAGCCAACUGUCGUUCCAUAUAUUGACUGAUUCCCCAUUACCGAUUCGCCACCCCAUCCCCUCCUCAAGCAGUUGUCUGGCUCCCCAAAUACUACGCCAGGUAUAGGAAGGGUAAGAACCUACCCCAGCACUAAUAAAAUCUCCUUUCGGGAAAUACUUAGCUUUCAUAACACGUGCAAACAAACCAUCUGAUUUCGUGAUAAUUUUCCAACCCUGCUUCGCUAACAAAGCCAAAUUAAAUUUUGACAGAUCUUUAAAACUUAAACCUCCCUUCGCUUUGGGGAUGCACAUUUCACUCCAUUUACACCAAUGAAUACCUUAUUAGUUUUACUAUUCCGCCACCAAAAUUUGCACAUUAAAUUCUCGAGCUCUCGACAAAAUGAAACUGGUAGCUUAAAGCAUUGCAUAAGUUGGAAUCGCUUGUAAAAUAGAUUUUAAAAAUACCUCUUUUCCCCCAGCUGAUAAAAAGCGCAUACUCCAAUUAUUCAAUAAUUUGACACAUCGUUCUUUAAUAGCCACAAAAGCAUGCUUCUUCCUACGUCCUACCAUAGUUGGCAACCCCAAAUACCGUUCUGGAUUGUUAGAUAUCCGAAAAUCCUUCCCACCUGUGCUUGUGUUUCCAAAUCCACGUUGCCACUGAAGUAGAUAAGAGAUUUGUCAAAGUUAACCAACUGUCCCGAGAUCUUCUCAUACUCCUGAAUCACACCUUUCAUAUUAAUUGCCCCUUCAGUUGAAGCCUCACCAAACAGCACACUAUCAUUCGCAAAAAAAAAAAAUGUGACACUGAUAUGUUUCCUCUUCCCACUCUUGUCCCAGAUAGCCUUCCAUCCAAUUUGGCUAGUGCAAUUAAUCUGGAAAAACCUUCCGCACAAGUGAGAAACAAAUAAGGACUUAAUGGAUCGCCUUGUCUUAGCCCUCGUUGAGGUCUGAAUUCUUCUCCCUCCCUACCAUUUAUCACCACUGUAUAUGUUACGCUAGUAAUACAUCUCAUAAUAAGCGAGAUUCAGCCUUCACAAACACCCAUACUGCGCAUCAUUUUUUCUAAAAAAACCCAUUCAAUUCUAUCAUAUGCUUUACUCAUAUCAAGUUUUAGAGCAAAGUUUUUCUUCGUUGUUCCUCUCUUUCUUUUGAAUGAAUGCAAAAUUUCGUAUGCCACGAAAAUGUUGUCUGUGAUUUUCCUUUCCGAUACAAACGCCCUUUGUGUGUCUUCAAUGCAUAAGUCCAGCACUGUAAACAAGUACCUUUGAGAUAAUUUUGUAGAUCACCUUGCAAAAACUAAUGGGGCGAAACUUAGUCAUUGACUUUGGUGACUUCUCUUUGGGAAUAAGAACAAUGCUUGUUUAAUUUAUCUCUUCUACGCUUCUUCGUCCAUUGAGAACAUCCAAACAAUAUGUAGUCACAUCCUCCCCUAUUAUAUGCCAGUACUUUUGAUAGAAUAUUGCCGGAUACCCAUCCUUCCCUGAUGCCUUGAGGGGUGCUAUAGAUUUUAUCGCCUCAACAACUUCUUUUACUUUAAAUAUUGUGAUUAGCAUACUGUUAUGUUCCUUCGUAAUGCAUGGCAAAAAGGACUCAAACACUGUAUCACAAUUACUUACCUCUGUAGAUGAGAACAACUCGUUGAAAUACUCGGUAGCCAAAUUAGUGACUCCCUCCAUAUUGGUAAUAAAAUUCCCCGCUUCAUUUUCUAACCCCGCAAUUAGAUUUUUUCUUUUUCGUUGUGUCGCACUCUUAUGAAAGAAUGUCGUAUUUCUAUCCCCCAUACGAAGCCAAUUAACUCUUGCUCUUUGUUCCCAGAACAGUUCCUCCUUAUCCGCUUCAAAAUUCAACUCUAAUUUAAUGUUUGUAAUUUCCUCCAACACUUUAUCACUAAUUUCGCCUGCUCCUAAUUUGCUCAACCUAUCAUUUAGUUCUUUCGUUCGUCGUUCGGUCUGCGUUUUCUCCUGUUUUACCCAAUUACUCAAAGUUAACCCCAAGUUCUUUAGUUUCUCCAACACAUCCAGAUUAUUUGAGUUCCACUCCCAUUUUAAUCGCUCCUCAAAUCCUGCCUCCAGAAUCUAGUCUGCAUUAAAUCGAAAAUGACCUUGUUGUCUCCUUCCUCGCAAUCCCUCCUCCCUACCGGUUUCUACCAUGAUUGGACAAUGAUCUGAAAAAUUGUGUUGCAAAUGACAGACUUUAUACCCUGGGAAAAGAUCCCACCAUUCUGAGUUAGCUACCCCUAUCAAGUUUCUCCCUAAUAUUGUUGUCAAGCAGACGAGCUCUUUCCCAAGUGUAUCAUUGUCCCGAAAACCCCAAAUCGUAUAACUCACAGUAUUCAAUUGCCUCCCUGAAUGAAGCCAUCUGUCUUUCCUCCCGAAUUCUUCCCCAUUUCUUUUUAAAAGAAAAAAAAAAUUCGUUAAAAUCUCUGGUAACUAGCCAGGGCUUGUUAUUUUUGCUUUUCAAAAAUCUUAGUAAGUCCCAUGAUUCUCUUCUUUCUUGCUCCACUGGCGCUCCAUAAAAUCUUGUAAACCUCCAUGUAUCUAACUCAUCUUCAUUCGCCACCUCCACAUCAAUGUAAGAUUUUGAAAAGCUUUUCAAAGUUAAAUUCAAACCCUCUUUCCAUCCUAAUGACAAUCCUCCUCUCGUGCCAAUUGCAUCUAUGUCGAUUCCAUUCAAAAAGCCACAUUGCCUUUUUAUUGCCUCCAUUCGUUUGCUCGAAACCUUUGUUUCCAUAAGAAACAAAAUUUGGGGUCGAAUAUAUCUCAAUUUGUUUUUGAGACGUCGAACUGUCCGUGGUUGCCCCAACCCACGAACAUUCCAGCUAAGAAUUUUCAUUGUGCCCGGUCAGCCACCUUAUGAGUGGCCGCCGAUAUAUCGUUCUCCAAACCCUCUUUCGAUAGUUUCCUAAAAUCCCUAGAGAUUCCCCUUUCUACAUUAAUCCUUUGCCAUUUUUUACCAUCCACGAUUUCCAUUAACAUGUCUUCUGAAUCCUCUUCUACCCCCUUACCUCCAACUGGAUCGUAAUAACUUGGCUCCUUGUGUUCAGAUUUUUCCUAAGCUAUCGUGUGAAACAUCCCCAGGGGCCCACUUCCUCUUUCUCCUCAUUAUUAUUUGUAGCCUCCCCUCCAGCUUUCCUUACGCUUCUUUCCCUAUCUAUUUUCAUGUCCUGCCAUUUAUCUGUAUCUGACUCCUCUCUAAUCCACUUGCUCACUACUUGUCUUCCUCGUCUUAGCGCAGCACGUAAUGUCAAAUCCCAUCCAAAUUCCAUAUGCUGAUUCCCCAUUCUUAAUCUGACCUUGCAAUAAUUUUCACCAUGACCCAGUCGGCCACAAAUAAAACAAAAAGUGACAACCUUUCAUACUGGAAUAAAACAUAAAUGAAUCUAUUCUGCCCAAUGCCUAUGCGCUUCUUCCUUUUAAGUGGUAAACGAACAUCAAUUAUAGACCUAAUUCUCAUGAAUUUACUAACCCCUCUUGUCAUCAAUGAUGAAUCAUAUUCCACAAAUUUACCAACAAAAUCUCCAAUUUGACGUGCCGUUUCCUCUUAUGUGUAACCCAUAGGUAAAUUGUGUACCUGAACCCAAAAGAUCGUAUGCCAAAAGGGAACUGAAUUAGGGUCUUCACCCCUUACUAAUUUGUGAAAGAUAAUAAGAUGGCGAUUAAAAAACCAUGGUAGACUAUCCAGGACUCAAUUCAAAUCAAUUUCACUGUAAAAUCUGAAUAAAAUCCUCUCAUCCUCCAUCUCAGUAAUGGUCACCCCUCUCAACGGGUGCCAUAAAUCGGCUAAAGUAUUUUUUAAUGCAGGAAAAUUCACAAUACUAUCAGUAAGAACUCUCCCUACCAGGCACAGUUUAUACAAAUGUUCCACAGCAGUAUCUUCUCCCAAAACCAGCAUGGGAUCUUCCUCUUCACCCAUAAUAUUGAGAUUAGCAAGAUCUGUAUCCGCCAGAUCAAUAUUAUCCAUGUCAUACCUCAAGGCGGCAGCAAGAUCCAAACCCUAAAGAAUACUAUUCAUGCUAGAAAACAGACCAAAGAAAAAACCCUAAUUCGUGCUACAAGGCAGACUCUAGUUCUCAAUUUUAUUUGAUAAUAACUUAAAAUUAAAAGUAAGGGAACAAUAAAAUAAAAAUUACAACGUUCCAUUGGAAAUGUGCUAUCUCCGCUAAUGGCCAGUCAAAAAUUGUGAACCAAUGAGGCACCAUCCCUCAACUGAAGCUGCUCUAAACAGCCUAGUGAGCUAAGGUGGAGAGCAAAUUGUACUAUGGAGGCCAACACACCGGAUGAAAACACUGAUAUAAUGGGAGUUUUAGGUGGUGUUUGAUAAAUUGAAAAAUUAUGUAUUAUAGUUUAACUAUUGAAUUUAAAUUAUAAAAUUUAUUUAGUAUAAUUUUUAAAAUUAAGUACAAAAUAGAAUUGGAUUGUAUGAUAGAUGUACCUUUUAGAAAUUUAAAGAUUUUAGUUAAUAAAAUAAAAAUAAUUGAAAUUCUUUUUACAUUAAGUAAUAAGUAUCUCAUUAUGUGCUUAUCAUUUUUCACUUUUUUUUUAAAUUAAAAAUCCUAUCAUUUAUUUUCUACCACAAAUGAUCACACGUACUUAAAAUAUUAAAUUAUUGAAAAUAUUUAAUUACAAUGGAUUUAAUUUUUUCAAUAAAUUGUUAAACAAAGUCUUAGUCUAAAUAUAUUAAUACUGUUCGUUUGUUAAAAAAAUUAAACUCAUUAGGCCAAGUUGGAUUUCUUUUUAUUUGACAAAUUAGUAAAAAUUAACUAUUUUGAUAAUCACUAAUUUUUGUUGUCACAUAUAUUUAACGAGAUUUUAUCUGCUUAAUCAUUUAAUUAAUUUAUUAAAUAAUGUAAUUUUAGUUAAGUAAAAAUAAUAUUGAUCGUUAAUAAUUUUAAAAACAAAUAAAAUAUAUAAUUAAUUUUAAUAAUUUUAAUAUUAUAAUAAUUUAUUAAUUAAUAAUAUAUAUGAAAAUAAUGUUAUUAUUUCUAUUGAAAUUUAAAAAUAUAUUGCCAUGUUAAUUAAUUUCACAUUAAUAUAAUAAUGUUAAUUAAUCUUACUUUUGUUAUUAUCACAUAAUAAUUAGUAAUAUAUUAAUAUAUUUUAAUGUUAAUUUAGUAAUAUAAUAAACAAUAAAGAAAAUUUUAUUAGUUGAAAAGUUUCUUCAAACAUAUACUUUUACAUAUAUCUAUAUAUAUAUAUUAGUUUUCUAAAUUACGAGCAUUGUACUUGAAUAUAUGCAUUUAAUUAUUUUUAUUAUUUGAAAAAAUUAUUUUUUCUUAUAAGUAAUUAAUGCAAGUAAUCGUUAUUAAGUUAAUUAAAAUAUACCAAAAAUCCUAUCACACAUGUAUAUAUAUAAAAACCAUAAAUUUAGAACAUAAAUGUAUAUUUAAGAAUAACAUACAAUAAAUAAUAAAACAUAUGGUUUGAAACUAAUAAAUCAAAAUAACACAUGAAAUGUGUACAAUAUUAAAAUAAAAAAAAUUAGAUUAAAUUAUGAGUAAAACAAAAGUUAAACACAUAAAUACAUAAAAUAAACAAUACUAAAAAAAAUUGAUGGAGAUAAUAGUGUGUGCAUAAUAAAAUUAAAAUGUAUAAAAUAUCUCAAAAUAAAGUUUUAGUUAAUGGUAAAUUAAAGGUUUUACUAAUGCGAUUGGUGUAGGUUUGAAUUCUAUCAUAUGAACUUUAUUACUCAAAAAUGCCGAAAAUAUUUCAAAAUUACUAGAUUAGGCCGAUUUUUGGAAAAAUUACAGGAAUAGGUUGAUUUAGGGAAAACCCUUCAGUUGGGAGCAUUUUUAGGUGGAAUGUAGAAAAACGCUUCCAGCUGGAAGCGCUUUCCGCGUGUUACCAGUAAAAUGCUUCCAGCUGGAAGCGCUUUCCGCGUGUUACCAGUAAAAUGCUUUCAGUUGGACACGUUCCCCCUAAUGGCUAAUUAAAAUAGCUGUUGCCCUCCCAAUGGUAAAAAAAACUAUAAACCCCCCACCCUUACUCAUUUCUCACAAUAUUCUCUAAAAGAUCUCUCAAAAUUCUCAAACCACUCUCGAAAUUCUCUCAAAAUUCUUUCUUAAAUUUAUUACUUAAAUUCUAUUUCUAUCUAGAUUAUAUUUUUUAUUAAAUUUUUUUAAUAUUUUCUGAAAAUAUUUUUUAUUAAAAAUUAAUUCGUGUUAAAUAAUUAACAAUGGUCGGUUCUCUAAUCCAUUAUGAAGACAAGCACAUUUCUGUUAAACAAUUGCAAAUGGUAAGAAUAAUUUUUUUAAUAAAUUUUAAUUUUGUUUCAUUUUUUUAUUUCACUGUUAUAUUUUAACUUAAUAUUUUUUAAUUUUUUACGUAAAUAGGCAGAAGAUCGAAUUUUACAAUGCCAUAUUCGUAAUCUACUCGUUCCUCCAUCACUGUUGAUCGAACCGUACUUGAGGGAAGUCAAUUUUUGGCACGUGACCUUUGUAGGUUAGAGGUGUAAGUUGGACCCGAAACUCGUAAGCGCAUUGUUGGAGAGGUGGAGACUCAAGAGACAUACACUCCAUCUUUCAUGUAGUGAGUGUAUUAUCAUUCUGGACAAUGUGCUUUUAUAGUUAGGGUUACUAGUGGAUGGGUUGGUAGUCAUCGGGUCUGUUCACUCUGUUGAUUAGGAAGGCGUAUGUGGUGAACUUUUGGGUUCGGUUCUGAAGACGAUUUACGAAGGUUGGAUCAAAAUGAGUUGAUUAUGAAGAAAUUUCGUUGGGCCUGGAUGAGGAUUUGACUGAAGUCAAAAAAGAAUGACACGCUUGGGCGUACAUCCUUUAGAUCAUCGGGGGUUUCUUAAUGCCAAACAAGUCACGAAAACUCGUCCAUCUAAGGUGGCUGUUGAAACUCAUAAACUUUAGAGGAGCGAGCUAACUAAGUUGAGGGUCUGCUGUGUUUGUGACAUUAUACCGGGAGAUGUAUCGGGUGAUGCAACCACGAAAAACCAAAAUUGGUGGUUGCAUUCUGUUACUGCAAUCAUGGGCACGGUAUCGGUUGCCAUUUUUACAUCCUCAAGCAAACUAAAUAUAUACAUUGCCACUCGUAACAAGGUAAAAUUCAUUAGAUAUUACCAUAAUAAAAUUGAUUUAAAUUUAAAUUAUUAUGUUAAAAAGUUAUUUAAAUAGGUGGAACCAUGGGCCAAGUCACGUGGGAUUUCCUAUUGAGCUACAAGAUAUACGGCUUCUAUUAGACCUAUGAUCAGAAGAAGAGGUAUCUAUUUAUUUAAAUUUGGACUAUAUAAUAUUAACGUAGUCGAUUUCGUAUUUAGUAGUAUAUAUAACUAAUGUUUUUAUCACAUUAAUGUAGCUUGAAUGAACACCACAUGGGGAUCUAGCAAUUCGAGAAGUCAUCCCCGAUGAAUUCUUUGUGAAUCCGAACACCUGGCAUGCAAAGGUCCUAUUAGUAGUGUAUGCUACCUUCGAGAUACACGAGACUAAUAGAGUGUUGCAGCAAUUCAGAUUCCAAUAAUCAAUUUCUGUGGCACCUCAAGACCUUAAUUAUCUUCAUCCUAUUGACUUGUGGGGCUGGACGAAUGAGAAUUGGACUAUAUUUCAUUCCCAACAUAUCAAUAUAUGGAAUAAUCGGUAUUAUAUCUUACCUACUUGCGAACCAAUUGUCGUUCCAAAGUUAGCAUGCGAUCCGAAGUACAUACCAUGGUUUAGGAUCCAUGGUAAGCCAUAUUUGUACAGGGAAGAGGCGAGGCGUCGUCAUCCCCAUAAUAGUAGGCCACAAUGGGUCCCUUUAAAUCCAAGGAUUGCCGAGGCGGGUCCAUCAUUAGCAUCCAUGCAAGAAUUGGCACUAAUGGCCGUGGCACCAAUACCUACACCACUCACCGGUCAGUGUACCGUUUUAUUCUAGUACAUAUUCUAACCUUAUCAUCUUUACACAAACACCAUAUAUUGCACCAUAUUUUCUUUUUCUAGUCCUAUGUCAGGUUAACUUUUGGAAAUUUGUCUCCGAUGUAUUACACAUCCAUGCCGUCUACUUUUCCAAUGACCAUGACAUAUAAAUUGUUUAUAUUUUAGGCACUAAUGGGGAGUCCACUCAUUAUCCCAUCGGUGUAUGAAACUCAACAUAGUUAUGCUCAUUCGUCAUUUCUGACGUAAACACCUCUAGGAUCUUUGUUCUACCAAGGUGGGUCAUCUUCCCAACCACCUAUUCCUAAAUCAGAGGAUGAACGGAUCGUAAUUGACUGAAGGCAAAUAAAAGAAGCUACGAGACCAUAACCCCAACCGGAGGCUGAACCAAGAAGGAAUCCAACGCGCAACUGCCGACCACUCCGAUGUGGCACAAGUUCUGACUGACAUUUGAACUGAUUAAAUUUAUCAUUGUAUCGAACAUUUAUAUUGUAUUAAUGAUUUUUAUUAUUAUGUUUUUAAAAGAAUAUGCCACUGUCAUACCAAGUUAGUAUUUGUUAUCAUUUAACAAAUUAAAGUUGUAAUUUGUUAUCAUUUCACAAAAUGAAAGCUCAUAUUUGUUAUCAUUUCACGGAACUGCGCAUUUACAGAUUACAAUAGAAUUGAUAUUUCUUUUCUAGUUUGUAUCGUCCUUUCAAUAUCAAAAUGACGACAUUGUAUGGUCCGAGUUCUUACUCUAUCUGUAUAACUUUGGUUGGUUUGAGCCCUCUCGAAUAUUCAUGUUGUCGCAUAUUCGAGUCGGUGUCAGUCGACCUUUUGGUUUAUGAUGCAAUGACUUAUUAGGUAACAACUUAAAUGGAGCGCUCGAUAUAGGUGGCUACAUACGUUUAUAUGAGACUAGUGGGAAUACAUGUCUCCAAAUGUACAUGUGUUCUAAAAUGUACACUUCGUCCAUAAAGAUCAUGGGAUCUAAGCAUUGAUUGCUACAUGUUGCAAUUGCAUGAGCACAUGGAAAAUGAAAUACGUCAAAUCUCCUAUAGUCGCAAGUUCAAUGUUUUAGGUGUACAAGGUACACUCCCCCGGCAAUACCUUAGUCCGGUCUGGCAAACUCUGUUACCUGAAACUAUAGGUCUUCGUAUGAGCAACACACUUAGUGCAUGCAAUUCGCUCGUGUUGUAGCAUUCUUAUUUUGCCUUGGGCUCCAUACUUGGUCUCCUUACAAUUGUCCAACAUAACACACCACUUGCUUUGGGAAUAGUUCAGCCAAACGAAAGUAUGUCUCUUUCACAACUGAGGUUAUUGGGAAAUGAUGCGUUCCCUUUAAAAUGAAAUUGAUGCAUUUCGCCAACUUUGAGGUCAUAUGGCCAUAUCAUAGACCUCCGCUGUAGGAUUGUGUCCAUUGAUCAAAGGGUAUGUUAAAGAGGUACCCUACCUUGCCUGGUUAGUUAAUUGUAAGAUUUCUAACAUCUCAUGGAAACGAUAUUUCACGAGCUUGUACCCUGUCAAUAGAAGUGGAUAGUGGCGAUUACAUAUAAAAUAAUAUAAAAAAAUCACAAAAUAUUGGUUGGUGGUGAUUACAUACCCAUGUUGGUCAUUUGUUCUUGCUCACUGGUAGAGGGAUAUUUUUCGUGGUAGUUGGACACAACAUAAGUUAGAGAGUACCGAUGGAGUGUGUGGUCUUAGAGGCUUCCCUAUUGUUCAAUUGCGGAUAAUAUCCAGUUCCCCAAUCAGAGAUGAAUCAUAUAUCAGGUUGGGGGCAGACAUGCCUUUUUAACCUAGAUAAAAAGAAAUCCCAAUCGUCUAUUGACUUCCUUGAUGUUAUUGUAAAUGUAAUUAGAAGGAUUCUCUAAUUUCCAUCCUGUGCCAGAACCAACAAUAUCUGAUGGGUAUAUAUACCAUACAUAAAUGUACCAUCUAUUUGUACCAAUGGCUUGGGAGCAUUGCUUGAAGGUCCAAAACAAAUGGUGGAACACUCAGCAUCCACGAAGCAAGCGGUCGUUGUGGUACGCGGGCCCUAUUUCUAGAUCAAUUAUGCAACUUAGGAUGAACCUCUCCAGCACCCGACACCACUGCCAUACCUCAUUGUAUGACGCAUCCCAUCCAUUGUGCAUCUUAUCCAAUGUCUUCUGCUUUGCUAUUCACGCCUUGCGGUGCAAAUUCAUUUAAUCGAAUUGGCUACAAAUAUUUGCAAUUAAAAGUGACACAAUAAUCCUUGAACGUGCUUUCACGAUCGGUAGUAUUAUGCCCACGAUAAUCUCUAAAUUCAACUUUAGAUGGUUCUGUGAAAUACCUAUAACGUCACGAGUACUUUAAAUUUAAUAAUUCAACUAUGUCGUAAUAUAUAUCGAUAUUGAUACAGUACCAGUGGCAACAAACGUAUGCGGAGCGGUAAACUUCUUUAUCAUCCACAAUCCCAUCUUCUUCUUAACAGAAGCCACAAAUUUCCAUGUGCAUCUACAGUCUCGCAUUACAUACUUGGUGUCGAACUCCUUAGACUAGGAUUUAACCACGUGGAAGUAAACCCUAUUCUUGAUGCUAUAUCGCUUCAUUGCAGCAACAAAACCAUCUUUGGUGGAAAACUAGCCCAUUUCCAAAUUACCUGAAUCUAAUGAAGAACUCGUGUGGCCUGUCCUCCUGUAUGGUAGUUCUGAAAACUCUAACCCAUCAUUUGUUGUUAGGUCAACAUUUUGCAUGUGGGUUGGAGGCAAGUAUGUCAUGAAUUGUGGAUAUUCUUCAUCUUCUUCUUCACCCCCUUCACCCCAUUCACUGUCUUUUGGUUCAGUUGGAAUAGGUUUCAGUUCAGAAAAUAAUGCAAUUUCUAAACUGUUGGCACUGGGCUUCUAGACUAGAUCAACAUUAAAUUUAUUGCCAUCUUCAUUCUCGAACCCACCAACAUCUGCAGUGUUGGAUGUCCCCUCACCGGUGGAUGUUGUAGGGAGUAUAUUAUUCCUUCUCGUAUAGUUGUUGAAAUGUCCAAAAUCACUUGUCGAUAGCCAAUCGUUGGAAGUUGCUCCCAAUCCCAGUAAAUAUUCCCAGCGUUAAACAUUGACUGAUCGAAGUUCAUGUCUAACCUACUAACUGAGUGCCGUGUAGGGGUCAUGUAUUUCGUUCUACCAUAAAAACCUGAUUGUUCGAUGUUCUACCUACCGUGGUUGAAACCUAAGGUCGAGACGGAUAAGUGUUUUCCCAUCGAUGACUCCAGGAUAUCAUAAUGGGAACUUUUUAAUAAAGUGGUGAACCAACCAUACAACUGUGUCAUUGAACUAUUGACAUUUUCAACCAUUUUGGCCUCUUAAACAGGAAUAUAUGUCGACGUCCAAAGGCCUUCAUUUGGCCUUGAAAAGUCCACAUAUAACUUGAGAAAUGGUGAUCUACUACCAAUAUGCGUCUGCAUAUUGCCUCCAAGCCCCUAGCACAUUUGAUAUCCAAAGCAUCAAAUUUCAAGGGGUUGAUCAAAGCACAAAAUCUAUACUUAAGAGACGAUAUUCGUAUCAGGUUGGAUCCGAAAAUUUUGUGCCUAAUUCUUGUUCAGAGUUCUAGAAACUGUAUGUCUUGGUUUAAGGCCAUCCACGCUGUGUUCUCCGUUAAAAAAAACCAUACCAUUUUUGGUGUCACAAAACUCACCAUCAUAAUAAAUAAUAGCAUUAACCCGUCCACUCAUUUUGAACCAAAUUAUCUGUCGAGAUAAAUUUGAAACAAAAACAUUAUGCAAAAAAAUAAUGCUUUAAAUAAAUAUUAACAAAAAAAAUAAACGCUUAUGCUUACUUUUUAUACAAAUAAUAUCGUUGCUUCAACUUAUGCCUUCCCUACAAACUUUUAUUCUUUUGAACUUCUUAAAAUUUUAUUUCCUCAUAAAUGGUUUAUGCCACCAAAGGCUGAAAUAUGUUACAUUUAUAGCCCAUGGAAUGACUUCCUAUUUGAUUCUGAAAAAAUUCCCCAAAUAGUGAGAGGUUGAAAUUUGUAGAGAUAAAACGUUCCAAGCAAGACGCACUGUCAGCAGAAGUACUGAAAGCGCGUAUAGUAGGAAGCACUUUCAGUGCCACUCAGCUAAAAGCACUUCCAUCUAGAUGGACUUUUAGAACUUCUGCUGAUAGUGCGUCAUGCUUGGAGAGUUUUGUCUCUACAAAUUUCAACCCCCCACUAGUCGAGGAAUUUCACAUCAUAUUUCAGAUAUCCCGAGAUUUUCGGGAUAUAUUUUCAAAACCAUCUCGUAAAAAAUAAUGCACUGGAUAAGUAUUUUAUUGAAAUAUCGAAUCGAACUAAGAUUAAAAAAAGACAAAAUUUUAAAACUAGUUUUGCAUCCGGACCGAGUACUCAUAGUUUUGAUUUUUAAUCGAUUUGCAAAAUGAAAUUUGAAUAAACAACUAGUGUAAAUAUGAAUAUUUUAAAUAUCGAAUUCAAUAAUUACAAUUACUAUUAUUUUAAAUAUUUUAUCAAUUUAAAAUUUAAAAUCCCAAACCCUAAAAGUACAUAAACAUAACCCUACUUUAAAACCUUAAUACCAAAACCACUAAAAAACCCUAAAACCUAAUAUAACAUAGGGAAAAAUGCUUCCAGGUGGAAGCGUUUUUCUGCAUUUCACCUAAAAACGCUUCUAGCUAGAAGCAUUUUCCCAAAAUCGGUCUAUUCCCGUAAUGAUUUCAAAAAUCGACCUAAUAUGGUAAUUUUGAAAUAUUUUCAGCAUUUUUGAGUAAUAAAAUCUAUCAUAUGUUUUUUAGUGUUUUUUUAAAUGAAAAGAUUAAAAUACAUUUGAAUAAUAUUAUUAAUUUUAAUUAUGGAAGGACAUUCUUAUAAUUUCUCAAUCGAGUUGUUGACCAAUUGACUCCUGACACCAACUCGACCAGGAUAUUAAAUAAUAGUAUAAAUAAAAAAUUCUAUUAAUAAAAGAAUUCAAAUUGUAAUUAAAGUAAUUUUACAUAUUAAAAAAUAUACUUUUUAUGCUUUUUUCACAUUUUUCUUAUGGUUUUUUUGGUCUACCUUUACCAUUAAUUUUAGCAAAGAUAUUGCUUAUUUAUAAAAUUAAAUAACUGAAACUGCAAUUCAAGAUGAAUAUGUUCAUUCAAUAAUUAUUAGACUUUAUCUACUUGAUUUUUAAAUUUUAAUAUAAUAGUAUAUUAUUAUGUUUAAGUAAAAAAAUAAUUUAACAUAAUAAGACAUUUCUUAUCUAUAAAUUUAAAUAGUUUUAAUUACAAUUAAAGUGUCAUUCAAUAUGAAUAUAAAAUAUAAUGUAAUAAUUAUUCAAACACUAUCUAUCCUAAUUUUUUAUUUAGUUUUAAUACAAUAAUUAAAAUAUGUUUUUUAUGUUUAAAUUUAGGGUACAUUUGGAAAACACUUAGUAAUUGAAUUUGAGAGUAAUACUUUGUAAUUACACAUUUUUGACAUAUUUAGUAAUCAUUGUAAUUUUUGUAUCUCAUUAGAUUAAGUGUAAGCACCUUAAUUACCCUCUCUAAUUUUUAGAGAAAAUGAGAUAAUUAGAGUAAUUAUAUAAAUAAUGACAAAUAAUUACACUAAAUCCAAUUACCAUAUAACUAAUCAAACAAACUUGUGGAAUAUUUAAGUUUAUGAUGUUUGGACUAAUCAAACAAACUUGUGGAAUAUUUAAGUUUAUGAAGUUAGUUUUGUUCAAUAACAAUAGUAUUUUAAUUUUAUAAUAUAUAUUGUUGGAAAAUUUGGACAUCACAUAUAUAAUAAGGAUAAUUACAUGUUAUUAUUUACUAUCAUGAUAGUUUAGCCCAAAUUAAAAGUGAUCUAAUUUGGCUAGAAUUUUAUUGGGCUUUUAAUUAUUAAAUAAAGUAUGGGUCAAAUAUGUGUAGAUACUCUUCUAAUCAGAUUCUAAAUUAAUGAUGGGCUAAUUAGAAUUUGAUUAGAAAUAAUAUACUAAGGUUAUAAAUAUUAGGGUUAUGGUCCUCAAAUUAUAUACAAGAUAUCUUUUCUAAUAUCCCAUCAUUAGGAAAGAGAGAGUAGAUAUUCUCUGAAUUUCUUAUGUGCUAAUUUGGAAGAUCAAAUCCCCAAGUUCCAAAAAGUUUCAAAGAAUCCAUGGAUUCAGGUACGCUUCCGCAUCUAGUUUUCUUCUUGAUUUAUUCUUAAUGAUUUAACAUGACAAAUCUUGGUUUAUUAAGUUAUAUUGUAGAUUUAUUUUAUAAAUUCUAACAAGUGGCAUCCGAGCCUCGUCAUAUCGAAUCAUUGGGAAUUGAUUCAGGUUCUUCAUUUGAAUAAUUGAUUCAUGAAAUUUUAUGGAUUUUAUAUUUUAAUUAUAUAUUAUGUUGAAUCUUUGAGAUUCCUGAUAAAUUUUUGGGUUUUGAUUCUUUAAAUAAAGUUUUAUGAUUUUAUAAAUAUAAUCUAGUUUAAUAUUUGCAUAUGCUAUUCGAAAGAUGAAUGUUCAUUUAUUUAUUUGAUAAAAAUUGAUUUGUGAGAUUUCUUUAUCUUCUUUUCACACAAUUAUUUUAUAAUUUUUGGUUAAAGUCAUUAUUAAUUUAAAACUACAGACUUACAACUUUUUUACAAUUGAAAAAUUUCAAUUGAGUUGUAUAAUUGGUUUUGAAAGUUAAUUCACUUGAUAAUCGAAUAAAUGAAUGUUGGUAAGAUAUAUAUUUUUUCGCACUAUUUAUUUUAAAUUUUCUGUUUGUAGUUGAACAUAUAUGGAAUCAUCAUCCUUUAUCUUUAUUUAUGAUGAAUUAUAUUCACCAUUGAAUUCAAUUCAUAUAUACGAAUGAUUACUUUUGGUUUCUUUUAUAAUUAUUUUAUGUAGUUUUAGUCUUUAUGGAAUCUGAUUAAAAUUAAAAUAUUUGGGAUUAUUUUAUAAAUUCUAACAUAUAUAGUUUAAAUAUUAGUAGGAGAUUAUUUCUCAUACAUUUUAACUUACUAAAUAUUUAACUAAAUUAUAUAGCAUAUAAUAUAAAUAGAUUUGUCUAUGAGUCAGGAUGACUUGACUUAAACCAAGUUCGGACAAUAAUUUUUAUGCCUUGAAUUAGUCCGAUCUAAUUUGAAUCUAAUUUAAACAAUAAAAUAUUUUACAUUUAAAAUCAACUAUAUAAAUAUUAAUAUUAUAGACACUGCAUUUUCAUUGAUUUUGAAUAUUGUGUUUGAAAGUGAGAAUUCAUUAAUUUUGAAUUACAAAAAUUAAAUUUUAAAAUAUUAAGAUUCUAGACCAUGUAUAUAUUAUAACAGUGUAGAAAAUCAUAUAAUGAUAAUUAGUGACGUAUAUCAUUUUUUAUUUAAUUUCUAUAGAUCUUCAUUAUACAUUAAAUUUGUUUCCGUUGUUUGCAAUUGAAAAUAAAAGUUACGUCCAAUUCUUCACUAUCCAUGAGAUUAAAAUUUUCACUUUUUUAUCAAUAUAAUUUCUAAGACUACGUUCCAAUAUAUAUGAUUAGAAUUUUCUAAAUUGUUUUUUUGUUGAGGGUGCCUGUUAAAAGGGUUAGAUUCUUUAUUUAUAUGAUAUGGUUACUAUUUAUGGAUGAGACGUAGGUAGGUCCCAAAGCAUACCAAUAUGUACCUUAUUCUAGAGUUAACACAUGUUUUCUAGAUGAGGGUUCGCUUUCUUGGUGGUGCGAACCCAUAUGGUGUGGUCUCAUAGAAGGACGCGACCACCUUAGGUGCGAACUCAAAGUGUGAACAUUGUAAAUUACGGGCCAGGACCCAAUCGGGUAUUCGGGUAACGGGUCGGUAAUGGUGAGUACCAUAAAAAUUUGUCCCUCACCUAGUUCAAAGAAGUUUGAGAACUUGACUUCGUGAGGUGAUAGAUUCUUGAGAGAAAAGCUUAUCAUGUACGCUUUUUUCUUUAGAUUGUCACAUACACUUCACCACGUGUUGAGGAGUGGUACAACUGUAUACAGCUGAUUGUGCCUUCAUUCUCAGAUACACGAAUCAUUAAAGUGUAAAAUUCUUUUAAAAAGAGGUUACCCUAACCCUAAGAAUCAAAUUGUUUGAAUUUAAAAUUUUUUAGAAGGAGCUGCUGCUGGGGAGAAUAAUCAUUUUUUAAAGGUAAUUUUCUUAAAAUUUCCCAAUUAUUUUUGUGGAUUUUUUUUGAGUGUAUUCGGGCACAAUGGUUAGGGCGAGAGGAAGUGACCGUGUUAUUCAAGGCAUUCAUCAACACCGUAAGGUAAAUGCUUCGGUGGAGGCGAAAACUUAUGUUUGUACCACCAAAGAGGAAGAAAUGAGUCAUCCUUUGGCUGUUCGGGGAAUUCGAAUACCGAAAUUUGCCUAUGACUUCUCAAUCACUAAGGGGUCGAACCAAUUAAGUGACACCACUGAUGGAAGUAUGUACGUGCUAGAAGUGGGCUUUCAUCUACCACUCCACCCCUUCUUCUGCCAUCUUCUUGAUAAGUACAAGAUAGCUCUAGGGCAACUAUCUAGUUUUUCGUGGUAGGUCGCAGUAGCCUAUUUCCUUGAAUGUAGUCACCAAGAGGAGAUUUUGUUGAUCGUUGUUUUCCAGAAUCUGUUUCAACUCAAAACGUGCAAUUGAGGAGGUUCGGUAGGCUUGUUUUACUUUUCUCCUCGUGAAGGAGUGAAAUCGAUUAUCUCCAAUUGGUCCUUGAAUCUUUGCCUAAACCACUGUAAAUAUAUACGGGUCAAAUACAAGUUUGGAACUGGUUUUGAUUUUCCAAUUGAAUGGUUCAUACCUAGUAAGAACAUUUGCUUGCGAAAAUGAGAUAUUAUAUUUAAAGUAAGGUAGACUCAAUAUUAUAGGCUUCACUGAGGUCGCGUAAUAGAUUUGGAGGAAGUGUUAAUAGUUAGAAACAUGUUUCGGUAUUGUUUCGUAAAUUUGAGCCCUAAUGGAUGGCGACCAAUUGAUGAUAACAAUAGAGCAUGCACUGUGACUAUUUUGCACACGUACUUCGCGUGGCCACAUAGAGCCAGUGAUGAGUUAAAGCUUAUUCUCUUGGGAAAGAAGGAAAAGCCUAAAAAUUAUUCUUAUACCUUUUGUAAAUUAAAGACUUGUUUGUGGUCCUUUAAACCUGUAGGGGAUCAAGAAGGUGGUGUAGACUCCUUAUGGUAACUGUUGGUGCUAAUAAUAGACUUGUUAGUGAUGCAAACAUAAUUCCUGUUGUUGAAGAGAAUUUAAAAGAAUCCCCAAGUUUAUCCAGAGAGAUAGACGAGUACAUGCUCGUACAAUCCUUUAUGCAAAAUGUACGAGGUGGUCCCUUUGGUACUUCUAUUAGGGAAGGGAGUGCGAGUAGUAGAAAGAAGCAGAAGACUAUUGCUGGAGCUGCUAACAUUAUAUUAAGUAGUGAAGAUGAGGGUAUUCUAGCAAGGGAACUUCGCUGAAAGAAAGAGAAAGAUUGCGCUGUAACAUCAGGUGAUGUGGCGACCACUACUAUAGUUCCUCCUACAGUUCCUUCCCCUCCUGUGUCUCCACCUUGGAUGAACUAUCAACUGAAGGCAUAUUUGGGAUGAUUUUUGAUCAUGACCCUCUUGGGGGUUUAAUAAAGUUUAUGUCUUCUGGUGACGAGACACAAACAUUAUUUCUGUGGUGCGAGCUCUUAAGAAUGUAGAAGUUUCCUUAUUGUCCCACUAAAGUAAGAAAAAGUAAGAUUCUUGCUUCAUGCUAUUCCACCAUCUCCGCUUCUUGGAAGACCACCGCCCUUCUUCUUACUUACGAUACAGUUGGUCUGACUAAGCCCAUUUGCUUAAUGAAGGCCGAGAUGAGCUUUCCAGAGUAAAGAUUCAAUGCUUGAAGAAGCAAAAGAGCAUGUUUGUCCAUUUGCAACAUCCAACUGUGUAACACCUAGUUUCGGCCAGUUUUAAGUCCUGGUGAGUAGUUUGGAAGUAAUUUGUGAGAUGUAGUUCUAUCUGCCUAAUUGUUUUUUUACCAUAUAGGUCGGGAAAAUAGUAGAUUUUAGAAUAUAUUGUAAGGAUUGAUCUCAGAAUGUGUUAAGUUGUAUUGAAGAAUAGAUUGGUAAGAGUAUUGAGGAUGCUUGGGUAAAUUGGGGUUAUCACUGAAGGUAUUGUACGUAAAGUUAGUUGGAUAGUGCCAGUCACGUUCUAACGAGGAAGUUAGGAAUGAAACAAAGAGAUGAACCAAAUACAUAUAAAAUAUUGGAUUUUCAUAGCUGCAAACCAUUUAUAAAGGUAGUUUAAAAUUUUGUGACAUGUGUCAAGUUCCAAUAAGGACUUAGGUUAAAAAUGUGGAUAUUAAGGGUAGAAAUAGGGGAGAUUUUUUCUUCUUUCAUCUAAAGUAUCGUUAUUUGAAGCUAGAGGAACCAAAUGUAUUUCUUUCUCCUUUAAGCUAAAGUUGUAAAUCUGGAUCUUUGUUAGUGACUACUCCAUGUAAGGGUAAGUAUUGUGACUCUGCAUAUUAAAGCUGUGAAAGAUUAAGCCUGAAUAAGUACAUGAAUAGUUAAAUGAACAAGUAAAGCUUUAUAUGAGGGUUAUCUGGGUUUGAGAUGGUGGCUAAGGUUAUGAAUGAGUUUUAAUUGUGUUCUUUUGUUUUAUAAGCAGUGGUUGCUAUAGUUUCUUAUUAGAUCUAGAGUUCAAGCUACUAUUUAUGGUUUUCAAGUGAGUCUCUAUACUGAAUCUUGUAUGCGUAUUGUUCGUACUAGAAGAUCUACUAAAAGCUAGUUAAAAAGGUGAUGUUGAGAUAUUAAAAGUUAUAGUUUGAUAUGUUUGGGACUACAUAAGAGAUUAUUUAAGGAUAUUUAUGAUUAUAUGUUUGUUGAGGAUGAUAUGUAUAUCUGGUAUAGAUCCGAUGAGUUCAAGUAAUGUGAUGGGAAGUAUGACUGUGUAUGUGUGUCUCGGAUGCAUACUAUGUAGUAUGUUCUGUUAAGAGUCUAUCAAAUGAUUCUAUGUCUAUUCACCGUGGUGGAGUCUAAGGGGGUCCGUCAGGACUAAAAACAUGAACAUUGAUAUGAACCUCUGAAGGAAAAUACCAUGGCCAUGAGACCUUCUGAAAGGAACAAAAGGACGAUGAUUACGCAAUGAGGUUCUCUACAUGUCCCAAGAUGAUGAUGGGCAAACCUUACAUAAUGUUAGUUAGGAAAAUCCAUAUCGAAAACAUGUCAUGAUAGAAAAAACUUUAUGGAAAAUCAUGAAUGAAAAAUCUUUGUGCCGAACCCUACAAAAAUAGCCUUUGUGGCGUACAACAGAUGGACUACCCUUAUGGUGUGUCUUAAUAAGGUUCUUAGAGAAGAACUUUAAAGGAUGACAUUUUUGAUAAGUUUUGAAGGAAGCUAGUUGGUGUAUUCAAUCUGGCCUUUUAAUGUAAUCAAAAGACAAUCAAUAAGGCAUAAGUCAUCUAUUGAUUAUACGACAAAGCGUUAUCUAAUACUACAGAUCAAUUGAGAAUAAAGAUGUAAAAUUGAAUGUUCGAAGAAAGAAUCUAUUAUCUAUGUAUGUACAGGGGCAAAGCCAGAACAAUUUUUUAGGGGGAGGCGAAUGAAAUUUUAAUUUUUUAUAGUCUAUAUCUUUAUAAUAUUUAAAGGAUUAAAUAUAAUUUUUAUAAUUUUAGGGGGGGCCAAAGUACAAUUUUACCUUUACUAAUUUAAAAUUUUAAAAAAAAUUUAAUGGCCUAAAUAGCAAUUUUACAUUUCAGGGGAGCUAGGGCCCUUACCAGCCUUCCAAGAUUCACCCUGUAUAUGUGUUCCUUCUUGAUUUGUGAUAAGAUGAUGGCUCAAAGUUUGAAGGAUGUAAGUCAUGCAUCGAAGACAUUGAAGAAAAGAAAUAGUUUCAGAGGGAGGUAUAGUAACAGACGAGUAUAAAAGAGUAGAACUUGAGGAAGUAUUUGCCAGAGAAAAAGUUGAAGGUUGAGAACAAUGGGAUUGUUAAUCUAAAUUAUCAAAUGCUAUAUGCAAUUAUGACUUAGGUAAAUGAUGUUUUCCUCACUAAGUUCUUAUGAACUUAUUCGUUUGUGUUAUGUAAAGGCGGGUUGAUGUGGGUCUGUUCCAAGAGGGAUGAUACUAGGACUACGCCAAGAAAUGGCGUAUUAGGUUAUUAUGCAUACAGAGUGAGUUGAUAUAACACAUUGUCAUAAAUAUGUUACCCUCAUAGGAUAUCCUUUAUAUCCUUGGUAUGAUACCUGUUCUUCCAAUAUAAUCAUAUUUUAUCUCAUGGUAACUUUUACAUCUUCCUUCAUUAAAAGUCAAUCACUAUCAAAUAGUGAUCAAGUUAUCCAUCACAAAGACGGAUGACUUGUGGCCAUGUUUACUUUUCACCAACCAUGUAAUGCUAAUGAAAGGAUAUCAUUUACCUUUUUUGGGGCUAUGAAUUCCACUAUUUUGAACGAUUCUCCAUACUACAGAAGUCGUACACCCAACGCACUGGCUUUCAGUUCCUUAUCUAUUUGAACUCAGCCUUUUACUUACAUCAAAAUGUACUAGUAAUGCACAUAUAGUCCGCCAUCCACUCAUGAUUAGGCAUGCCACACUUUGAAUGUCACAAGUGAAUAAAUCCAUAAAUGGAUUUAGGAUCUAUUCUACUUGGGUCCUGUUUGAUGUACUGUCAGUCCAGUCAGUCACAUCUAUGUCUUUAUUAUUUAGGAGUCAUCCACUCUGAUGCCCAAAAAAAAGGCAUCUCCCCAAUUGGACUUGAUAGACGACAUAUUAGUCUUUUAAUCGGUUUGCUUAUUUUUUAUUAGACUAAGUACAUGUUUAGGUUUGUUUAAUAAUACAAGUUGUCUUUUCGUACUAUGACCCGGCCAUAUUAUAUCGCUUAGUAUUAGUUAAACAAUUUGACAACCAAUAAGCAACAUUUGCUUCCAUUUUUCUUUGCGUGCAAAAACCAUAUAAGGAAAAUAUAGAAAAUAUUAAUGUAAUUUAUGAAUAAUUUUAUUAACCAAUUUGUUCGAAAAGAUUACAAGUGUACUUAGAUGAAAAUACUAUACUUAGGGCACCAAAUCCAAAAAUAGGAGCGUCUUACUCUUAUUGAAAAAUGUAUUGAAAAAUUGCUUAGAGAGAUCACAUGUGAGGAAGCUGAUAAGGAUGGUUUGGAGGUGACCAUGAAAAACAUGGAUGAGCAGCAUAAAUUUGUAUGGCUAAUCUGAUGAAGAGUCAUGAAGAGGAUUUGGAAAAGUACAAAGUUGAUACCAUGUAAAGCUUUCAAGAUUAUUUUCCAGAUUUAGAAUCUAACUUCUUGUUACACGCUCAAUUGGUUGGUUGUCUCUUUGAUGCUCGCUGGCUAAAUUUUGAUGCUCUCAGCCAUCUCAUAGGUGCUUAGCUAGACUUCAAUAUUCACUUCCCUUUUGCAACUGCUUGGGAGGAAUUUGUGGAAGAGUAGAAGAACUUUAGUAGGCUUUACUUUGCUGAGACCAGUGUAUCUCCCAUUGUUGGGUAUGAAGAAAAUGCUAAUGAAGAAGUGGAGGGAGAAGAUGAAGAGCUUGCCAAUCCCCAGGAUACUGGUGCUAACUCAUGAAUUCUUUGCACUAAUUGUGUUUAUUGUUUUUAUUUUAAAAUGGAAAGAAGUAUCUUUGGCUUUUGUUGAAACCCUGUUGUGUUUGGUUGUGAUUUUGUUUGAGCAAACUACAUAACUAAGUUUCCAUCACAAAUGACUUAAUGAACAUAAUUUAAAUGGUGGUUUGGAAAUCAACUAAUUAGAUAAGAUUGUUCAUGAUAAUAUAUCAAAUGAACUUAGUUGCAAUCUUAAAUCAGUGAGUUGUUUGAAGCAGCGAUAUUAAUUCAAGUAACUCAGAGAAGACUGUUCAUGAUAGUAAAUCAAAUGAACUUAGGUUACGAUCUUAAAUCAGCGAGUCGUUUGGAGCAGCGAUAUUAAAUCAGCUAACUCAGAGAAGAUUGUUCAUGAUAAUAAAUCAAAUGAACUUAGACUAUGAUCUUAAAUUACCGAGCCGUUUGGAGCAACAAUAUUAAAUAAACUAACUCAGAUAAGAUUGUUCAUGAUAGUAAAUCAAAUGAACUUAGGCUGCAAUCUUAAAUGAGUGAGCCGUUGGGAGUAGCAAUAUUAAAUCAGUUAACUCAAAGAAGACUGUUCAUGAUAGUAAAUCAAAUUAACUCAAGCUGCAAUAUUAAAUCAGUGAGCCGUUUGGAGUAGCAAUAUUAAAUCAGUUAACUCGGAGAAGAUUGUUCAUGAUAGUAAAUUAAACGAACUUAGGUUGCAAUCUUAAAUCAGUGAACCGUUCGGAGCAACAAUAUUAAAUCAGCUAACUUAGAGAUGAUUGUUCAUAAUAGUAAAUCAAAUAAACUUAAGCUGUGAUCUUAAAUUAGCGAGCUGCUUGGAGCAGUUAUAUUAAAUAAGCUAACUCAGAGAAGAUUGUUCAUGAUAGUAAAUCAAAUGAACUUAGCUUGCAAUCUUAAAUUAGCGAGCUGUUUGGAGCAACGAUAUUAAAUCAGCUAACUCAGAUAAGAUUGUUCACGAUAAAUAAACUAAAUAACAUUUGCAAAGAGUAUAUUUUUAUUAAAAAAGAGAGUAGAACAUUCAUAAUAAUAUUUUUUAUAUGGUGCGCAUUCUAUAUAUGAGGUAGAACAUGGUUAUCCAUUUUUGCUAUUCUAUAAGCUCCAUAACCUAUUUUUUUGACAACUUUGUAGGGUCCCUCCCAAUUAGAGGCCAUUUUUCCUUGCUGCGAUGCUGGGAAACUGGCUUCAGUAUUUCUUUAAACCAAAUCGCCUACUUGAAACUAUUUGUUCUUCACUUUAGAAUUAUAGUAUCGAGCAACUUGUUGAGCUUGCACAACAUUUAUGAUUUCUGUUGUCUCCCUAACUUUAUCGAUGAGAUCUAAGUUGAGUCUAAUGGCCUCUUGGUCUAUGAAAAUGAGAUGUCAUAUGUGAUUGUAGGCCUAUCUCAGUAGGGAUGACCGCCUCUGCCCCAUAUACCAAUGAAAAUGUUGUCUCUCCUGUUGCUAUGUGAGGUUAGGUUCAAAGGGCCUAUAUAAUUACUAGAAGCUCUUCUAACCAAGCACCUUUGGCCUCAUCAACCUUUUUCUUUAAAUUUGUUAGAAUUUUCUUUUUCAUUACCUCCGCUUGACCAUUUAUUCGGGGAGUUUUUACAAAGCUUUGAGCGAUAGAAAUUUGUAGGUACUUGCAAAAAAUCCUUGAAUUUUCCUUGGAAUUGAGUUCCGUUGUCUAUUAUGAUUAGACAUGGAAUGCCAAACUUGCAAACAAUGGAUUUCCAGAGAAAAGACUUCAUUUGUCUCUUUUUGAUUGUAACCAGAGCUUCAGAUUCUAUCCACUUAGUAAAGUAGUCCACAACUACAACUAUGAUUUUCAUCUAAACUGUGGCUAUUAGGAACGGACCUAAAAUAUGUAUUCCCCAAGUUGCAAAUGGCCAAGGACUAGACAUUACUUCUAGAGGCUCAGUUGGUGAUUGCUACACUUGAGAAUGUUUUUGGCAGAAAUCACAAGUGUAAACCAUAUGGUGUGCAUCUUUCUACAGAAUUGGCCAGUAAUAACCCUACUUGAGAACCUUUUGUGCUAACAAUAUUUCACCCAGAUUAUCGCCACAUAUUUCCUCAUGUAUCUCUCUCAUGACAUAUUCAGUUUUAGUGAGAGCAAGACAUCUCAAAAGUGGUUGGGAGUAAACUUUUCUAUAAAACACACCCUCCAAUAAGAUAUAUCUAAAGGUGAUAGAUAAAAUGAUUUUAAUUGAAUGAGGACUGAGUAACUUACAAAUACAAGGAUAUAUUAAAUGUAAAUAAUAACAUCGUACCUUAUAACCUUGUGUUGUAUUUUGGCGAGCUCCUUUUUGUUGAGGUAGUGAGUCUCCCAUUGUAGGGCUUGCACUAUAGAGGUCAUCCACAUUUCUUCUUAGCUCAGAUUAAGCACUUGUUGAGUGUUACAAUUUGCGGUGGCUCUAUGCUCUAACAAAAUUUUCCUCCUUGCUCAAUAGUAAUAAAAGAAGUUAACUUAGACAAAAUGUCAGCUUUGGUGUUCUCCAUCCUAGAUAACUGUCUAACUUGUGCCUUGUCAAACUGAACGAGUAGCUGGGAGGCUAUGGCAUGGUACUUCUUUAGGCUUGGCUCUUUUACUUCAUACUCCCCAUUCAUUUGCUUCGCUACUAGCUAAAAAUCAAUGUGUAUUACCAAUCCCCUCACCCCAACUUUAGAGCCAGUUGUAGUCUUGAAAUUAAUGCCUCAUAAUAUACAGAGUUGUUAGAUGCUUGGAAACUAAAGGAUAACCCAUACUACCACUUAUUUCAUUAGGGUCUAUAAGGAGAACUCCUGCCCCUGAUCCUAUCUUCGUUGUUCAGCCAUCCAUAUAAAAAAAUCCAACACUUUGGCUUCACAGCUGAGCAAGUUUGUUCCUGUGAUGAGCUAAUUACUACAUCUUGUAUAAUCAAUAGAAAAGAGUUUUUAGAACCAAAUGUACAUUUUUAAUGAAAUAUCAUGAAAUAAGAUGAGUAUUUUUUUAAGUAGGUUUUCAAUAAUUUAUGUGACAUACUAUUGUAUUAUUUAUGUGAGUACUAAUGUUUGAAAUUAAAAGUUAUAUGUACAGUCUAGUGAUCUGCCAAAACAACAUUGCACCAUGAAAUUGGCUAAGAUUUGAGCUUUGAUAGUUGUUCUCAGGGCAUACUCUAAUCCAAAUUCUGCCAAUUCACUUCCCCACUUAUUCAUUCUACCUCAAGUAUAUACUCUAGACAAUAUGUCUUUGAUAGGUUGGCUAGUCAUGACAGUCACUAGAUGAGCUUAAAAGCAGGGUCGCAACUUACGAGCUGUCACAAUUAAAAAAAAAGGGAUUUUCUAUCUUUGAGUACCUUUGUUCAUCGUUCUGCAACAUCUUGCUAAAACAGUUCACUGAAAAUUGGAGAACCCCUUCUGUCCUGAUGAAAACAACUGCUGUAACACCCCUAACCCGUAUCCGUUGCCGGAAUAGGAUUACGGGGCAUUAUUGAUCAAUACACAUCAUUCACAUAUAUAACACAUACAUUUAUACAUUCAUAAUUAAAAUCCAUUCAACACAUUUAUAUUAUCCCAUAUAAGGCUCUAUGAGACCUUAAAACAUGCUUAGAAGAGGUUCGAGACUAAACCAAUAACAUUUGAAAACUUUGGGAAACUUAGAAAAUUUUCAUGCAUUUAAGGGUCACACGCCCGUGUGAACAGGUCGUAUGCCUCACACGGCUACCAGACACGCCCGUGUCACAGGCCGUGCAAAAAUAGGGCAUACAUACUGACUUGCACCACACGGCCGGAUACACGCCCGUGUGUCAUGGCCAUGGAAAACUGGAGGGGUUACUGACUUGGGUCACACAGCUGACCACUCGCCCAUGUGCCAGCCCGUGUGCCGCACACGGCAAUUAGACAUGCCCGUAUGUUUAGGCCGUGCCCAAACCUAUAAGGUAUACUGACUUAAUUCGAAAGGGUACCCCAGGGGACACACGGCCGUGUAUCAUGACCGUGUGUCGCACACGGUUGAGACACACGCUCGUGUCUCUGCCCAUGUGGACAAAAAUAGACUAUUUGCAAAUUCGAUUUGCCACCCUUUCUCAUGCUCACUUAAACAACUAAAAUGGUACUAAUUCAUCAUAGAAUAGCCAUCCCAAAAUCAUAAACCAAAUGUACAAUUCAUACUAUAUCCAUUUCAAACAAAUCCCAUAAUCAAUUCAGGCCAAAUACCUAUUCAAAAAAUUAUAUCAUCCAACAUUCAUCCACAAGCAUAUAUCUCCUCAAUUUAUCAACUUCAACCAUACCAUAUAAAUCCUUUACUAAACUCAAAACAUUACCUUUUGAACAACUAUGAAACGUUAGCCACAUUUAUACCAAAAUAUACCAGACUAAGCCUUCACACAAGGCUAUCUAUAGAAAUCAAAACAUAUACAUUAUAGCCAAAUCUCGUGGAUAUAUUCACAACCAAAGUACCAUAACUAGCCUAUACAUGCCAUAUACCAUAUUUACAAGGCUUCAAAAGUACCAACAAAGUGAUCGAUAGUGUGAUGACGUUUCCCGACGAUCCCCAAGUCCGAGCUAGCUUUGAUUAUCUAUAAAACAUAGACAAAUAACACACAGUAAGCUUCAUAGCUUGGUAAGUUCGUAAGUGAUUAAUUCAAUUCAUCAAAUAAUUGUAUUUCAACUAUUAACACAUUACCAAAUCAAAAUCACAUUAACCACAAACCUUUCUCAUGUCUCAAAACAUGAUCCAAUACCAUCUCAUUGAACUUCCUCAAUGUAAUACUCAAAUAGGUUCCGUACGUACCUGUACCACCUCGUACUAACCUUUUUCUUAAAUACAUCAUUCUAUACCCAUUGAAACAUUUGGAAUAGAAGUCGGAUACUCAAGAUCUCAAUUAAUAAGUACCUAUACCAUGACCCGUAGCCAAAUCAAGGUAACUUAUCCCGGAGUACCUAUAUCAUGGCCCGUAGCCAAAUCAAGGUAACUCCUCUCUGAAUACCUAUACCAUGGCUUGUAGCCAAAUCAAGGUAUUAUUCACACUCGAAGUGCUGAUAUCAUGGCCCGAAGCCAAUACAUUAACCUAAUGACAUGUCAUUAUCAUCCUAACUAUUCCUAAGGUUCAACUGGGAAGUUUCACAUGUCAAUUUCAUCUUCGAACACAUCCAUAUAGUCGUAUUCACAAUUCAAAGAUUAUCCGUAAUCUCAUAAUCACAUUUUAUGCAAUACCAAAGCAUAUAACAUACAAUUAUAAUGAAAUUGUCACAUACGAACUUACCUUGUACUCGUAAUUAACGAAUCGGAUUACUUACUCGAUAAAUUUCGAUUUCUCCAGAUCUAAAUCCGAUUUCUUUAUUUCUUGAUCUAUAUAGAUUCAAAAUUAACUCAUUUAAUCACCUAUUCAUUCAAUUUCAUCCAAAAAUACCUAUUUAGGCAUUUUUACACUUUAGCCCCUAAGUUUCACAUUUAUUCAAUUUAGUCCUUGUUUCAAAAAUACGCAAAAUACACACAAUUCAAUCCAAUUACAUGCUAGCUAAAUUUCAUAGGGACCCCUAGCAGCCCAAAACUUUCAUUUAUUUCACAUUUUAUUCACCCAAUUUACACUUUUCACAAUUAAAUCCCUAAAAUGCAUUUUUAGCUAAAAUCACUUAACAAAACUUUAAAAUCUAUCAUCAAGCUUUCAUAUUUCAUCAUUAAUCAUUCAAAAGCUCAAGCAUUCAUCAAUGACACUUCACAAAAUCAUGAAAAAAAAAUCAAAAAUUAAGAUACGGGCUAGCUAGGUUACUAAGCAACGAUCUCAAAAACGUAAAACUCAUUAAAAACCGAGCUAAAAAAACUUACCAAAUUAACCAUGCACUAGCCAACCCCUAAAACUCCAUUUAUCAUUUCUUCUUCCUCCACAUUCGUCCGUCCAAGAGAAAAGAUGGACAAAAAAUUUGUUUUAUUAUGUUUUAAUUAACCUUAUUAUCAAAUUACAAAACUAUCCUUAAUAUAAUUCAUUUAAUAACACAUAAAUGUUCUCCAUAAAAGUCCACUAUCACUUAAAACAGUCUAAUUACCAUUUAAGUCCAUCAUAUUUAAAAGCCAAGGCAAUUUGAAACUUUUAACUAAUAGCAUACAACUUUUACAUUUUAUGCGAUUUAGUCCUUUCAUCAAAUUAAGCUUUCAAACGGUAAAAUUAUUUCACGAAACUUUCACACAUAUAUAAUCACAUGCUAUAAACACCAAAAAUAUUAUUAAAAUAAUUUUAAGUCUUUAGAUUUGUGGUUUCGAAACCACUAUUUUGAUUUAGCUAAAACUGGGCUUUUACAACUGCCAUCAUUUCUUUAGAGAUUACAAGAUAAAGAUAAAAAGUCUUCCCUAUUCGGUGCGACAUCAAAAGCGGUGGAGACAUGAGGUACAACUUGAGCUUUUAAAAAGGAGCUUGGCAUUCCUCUAUCCAACUAAAAGAGGUUCUCAAGGCCUUAAACAAAUGUAAGCAUUUAUCUGCCAUUCUAGAAACAAACUUGUUGAAUGAAACUACCCUUUCUGUGAGGUGUUGAACGUCCUGAAUAGUCUUCGGGGGAGGCAUAUCUAGAGUGACCUGAAUCUUCUCAGGGUUGACUUUUAUGCCUCUUUUUGAAACCAGGAAGCCUAAGAAUUUUCCUACUCUCACACCAAAAGCACACUUCUCUAGAUUUAACUUCAUGUUAUAGGCUAGUAAAACAACAAAAACUUUAUAUAAAUCCUUAAUAUGCUCCUUUAAAGUAGAAAAAUUCACUAAAAUGUCAUCGACAUAGACUUCACACUGCGACCAAUAUGUACUCUCAAAAUCUUAUUAACCAACCUCUGAUACGUUGCACCUGCAUUCUUCAACCCAAAAGGAAUAACUCGAUAGCAUAAAAAACCCUCCAUCAUGACAAAGGUCAUUUUAUCCUGAUCUUUUGAAGCCAUAGAAAUUUGGUUAUAACCUGAGAAUGCAUCCAUAAAACUCAUGAACUUAUGGCAUGAGGGCGCAUCUACUAAUCUGUCAAUUGAGGGAAAAGGAAAACUAUCCUUUGUGCAAGCCUUAUAUAGACUAGUAAAAUAAAUGCACAUUCUCCAUUUUCCAUUGACCUUCUUUACCAUCACAAUAGUUGACACCCAGUCCAGGUACACCACCUCCCUGAUAAAUCCUGUUGAAAGGAGCUUUCCUACUUCUUGUCUAAUAACCUCCACAACAUGUGGAGUAAACCUUGUUCUUUUCUAAUUGACUAGCUUGACCUCGAGGGACACUUUUAAUUGAUGGAAAAUCAUCUGACGAUCCACACUAGGCAUGUCUACGAUUGACCAUGCAAAAAUGGCUGAAUUCUCCCUCAAGCAUCGCAUUAAGGCUUCAUUUUAUUAUUCUUCUUCUAAUGUUGAUGAGAUCCUUACCAACUUGCCUGUGUUAUCAUAAAACAAUUGCAAAGUCUCUGUGACUUCUACUGCCUCUAGCUUGUGAACUCUCUCAUCACUUCUAACAUCUAAACUGCCCAAAUCUAAGACCUGGCUAGCUAUAUCUACCUAUUGCAAACCCUGACCCCGUGGCUCCUAUUCAUGCAUUUGCUUAACUGACAACAUGUGACACUGCCUUGCUGUUUGUUGGUUAGAUUUUAUGAAACCUAUCCUCGUCUUAGUAUGGAAUUUAAUCUUCAUGAAAUUAACAAUCACCAUUUUUAGCCAUUCUCAUAAUAGGAUGCCUAAAAAUGGCAUUUUAAGCCAUUGGUCUACCACAAAGAACUGAACAUAUUCUGUGGUGGUGUACUCGUCAUCCCCCAAGGUAACAAGUUGAGUAACACAUCAUUUCACCUCGACUGGAUGGUUUACAAAACCAUACUAAGGGCUUUCCUUUUUCAACGCUUGCUCCUUUAUCCUCAUAUUCUAAUAUACAUCCUAAGUCAACAAUGCUACAUCAGUUACACUAUCAGCCAAAAUUCUUGUAACCUCAAAUCCUGCUAUAGUUGACGAUACGACCAUAGGAUCAUUUCCUUCCUCAUCACAUACCAAAUCCUCAUCCUCUUCAUUAAAUUCUACUUUCCACUUCUCUUGUUGACGCAAAUUUUUGACGAACUGACCGACAUUACACAUCUAAGAUGAGCCUUCUUUUUCGUGUUAGAGGUCAUCCACUCUUCAUAUGUACCAAUUAUCACAUGUAUUGUGCCUGAAACUUUUUGUUUACCUUUAUCAGCAUCCCGUGAACUCUGACUUGAUGGCGAGGAAUCUUGAGCCUCAAAAUAUUUUAGCUCGACAUUUCUAACUACCUCAUCUAUAGCAUCUUUCAAAAAGAAACAAUCCUUGGAUUUAUUCCCCUAUCAUUAUGAAAAUUACAUCUCUUCCUCAAGUUGGCCCUAGACUGAUUACGUUGCAUUGGUAGAGGGCUUGGCAAAAUGCCCAAACUUUUGACCUGACUAGGAAUAUAGGUAUGUGUAGCAUUUAAGGGAGUGUAAGCUUCAAAUUUUCCAUGAGGAACAUAUCUUUUAGUGUGCUCACCUUGAGGCCUCUAGAAUGCCUUUUGUGAUUCAUUCUACGAAUAAUUCCUUUAUUUUCUCCCACUUUGUACACGCAGACUCUAAGAAAGAGCACCCUAUCGGUAGCAAACACUUUGGUGACCCCUAAAUUGCUUGUCUUCCCUUUGAAAAGUGUUACGAGCUUCCCUUUUAAUCUCCUCUGUAACAUCCCUUACCCGACCUAGUCGACGAACUCGAGUAAAAGGAUGCUACAAAAAAAAUACCAAAUAAUUUACAUGUAAUUUAUUAAUGAAAAUAUCAAUUAAUUAUCAUCAAAUCACAUAUAAUCAAAUAUAAUAAUUUGUAAGAUCUAAUUGAGAAAUCCAGGCAUGAAAUAAGGUUGAAUUUUAGAGAUUUCAAAAUCUUAAAGUUUUAAAGUUGGUAUCCAUAUUUAAUUAUUGGAUAUCAAUACUGUAUUGAUACCUUAUUAAAAAUUGAUACCAAAUCACGUUUCUGUUUAUUAUGCAAAACAAAAGUGAUAUUUAUUUUCUAGUGAUACCAGUUUGGCAUUCUGCUUAUUUUGAAACUGUUCAUAUGGUCAAGUAUCAAUACCAAAUGCCAAAAUAUCGAUACUUAAGUUCAUAAAUGGUAAAUUCGUAUCCUUAACAUGUCUAAUUCAUGCUAAAAUCAUCUAUAAUUCAAACGGUACUCUCAAAUACAAUUAUAGAUAAGAAAUUUAUCAACCUAAGACAUAGUUAUUUAUAUGCAACAUAAUCACAUACUUACACUUCACAACUAUCCAAAAAUUAUAAACUAGCUUACAUGAUUAACUUCCAUGUUUAACCAAUUCAAUAAAUCUUCCAUGACAAUUUCACUAUCACAUACUUAAUCAUAACAUACCCAUUCAACAAUCUCAUGUUUAAAGUAUCAACUUACCAAAAGAUCACUUAGGCAUAGUCUAAACAUAGCAUUCAUCAUUCUAUACUAUACACAUGCAUCAAUCAAAAUCCCAUCACAUAGCAUGCUAUAUCUAAACCAUUAGUGUAUUAGGCAAGUAACUCAAGAAACCUAACAAAACAUCAACAACAUGACUAUUACCGUCAUAUACAUAUAUACAUACACUUCCAAAAUGCCAACAAGAUACAAAAUAUUCAAUAUAACCAAAAGACUUCCUAAGUACAUGCCAAGACCAAAAUAAACAUAGCACCAACACUUAAGUUUGGAAUUGCAACUAGAUGCCCAGUCAACAAUCGAAUCGUAAAGUACUUAACCUACGCAUAGAGAACAAAACUGUACGCUGAGUAUAACUCAGUAGUAUUUUUAUAAUCUAAACUUUAAACGUAUCAUAAAACAUUCAAGUGCAUAAGAUUAAUAUGAAUACUAAAAUGCAAUUUAUAUAUCAUCAAUACUAACUCUCAUAAUCCAUUAUAAAUACUAACACAUCUCACUAUAUGAAUUCAUAACAAAUCACUUCACAUAUCAUUACUCAACCCAUUUCACUAAUAAACAUUCCAUUUCACUCUUUUUAUUGAUUUCAUAAACAUUCACCUUCUAAAUUUUCAUAUUAUACAUUCAAAUAUCAUAUACAUCUUUAUUUUCAUUCCAUAAAUAUAUAUAUCCUUAUUCUGAUUUCCAUCUUUAUUUCCCUAUUAACGUGACUUGGACUCAGACAUAUAUGCGAAUCCAACCAACACACCAAUUUGGCACCCAGUGCCUAAUGGGUAAAUUCGUAAUAAUAAAAUGGCGCCCUACAUUGGUCGAUAAAACUGAAAAAUAAAUGUACCCAACAUUGGUUGGUAAAAUUAACAAAAAAGGUGCCCAGCAUUCCCCAACACGUAGUCGUAUAACCCUAAACUCUUCCUAUCCUAUGACAUGCCAGUUAUGCCCGACCUUGCCCUAAGAAUUAAUAGGCUAACUAUUUCUCACAUAUAUUUUUAGUGAAUUCUCAUUUCAUUAUCAUAACCUCAUGCCACUUAUAAUCGGAUCAAAAUAAAAGAAUAGCUAAUGAAAGAGUUGCUAGAUAGUGUGAUCUCCAAGGAAGUUCCAAUUCUGACAAUCUAUAAGGAAAAAAACCAAAUAAAGUAAGCUUACGUAAAACUUAGUAGCAUCGUAAAAAAAUUCAUGUACCUGUGAAUUUAAUUUAGAAAUCAUAUUUAUAAUAUAGAACUAGCCAACCUUUGCCUUGUUCCAUCAUUCCAACUAUGCGAAAUGAUUAAACCUGAAUCGUUUACAUCAUCAAUACAUAACAUGUUAAGAUUCACAUACCAAAGAUAUAAUCAACCAAAUAUAAUUUAACAUAUCAUCUUAUUUCAUUUAGAUUUCUAUAGUUAAUUGUUUUGCCCAGAGGAAAAUAGGAAAUUGAAUUCAUAUACAUGAAGGGUAAUGCUCACAUAAGCUGACAAAAGGACAUUACCUGAUACACGAUACUGCUCACACAAGCUUCAUAGAAUCCGUACCUCAUGUAGUAUCUCAAGCCAUUGUUAUGGAAUCCAUCAUCGUGACAUAAUACCUAUAACACUCUAUACCCAGCCUGGUCGCCGAGCCUGAGUAAUAGGAUGCUACACCACCAUCUCAUCAUCACCAAAGCAUGAAACGUCUCAUUGACAUGUGUUUAACAUCAUAAUCAAAUAACUACAUAAGGUUUAACUCUAAUCUUCCCUAGAUGGUGUUAAAAAUUGGCUAAACAUGCGAUAAUCGUCCCUAUAACAAGUCAAAAACAUGCUUAAAGUCCAAUUAACAAAAAAAUCUAAAAUAUCACGUAAGUUUCGAUACUCAUUCGAUGGUAUCAAUAUUUCUCAUAUAUGGUAUCGAUACUGAUAAGAAAAUCGGUACCAAAAUAGCAUUCUAUUUUCGUGCAAAAAGUAAAACCAACAAACUAAUGAUACCCUAUCAAAAAGUAUCGGUAUUGUUACCCCGAGUACUUAUACUCGAAAGAUGGUAUCGAUACCAAAUUGAGUUACUAACUUCCUGCACAUUCGAAAUAUCAUGGAGGCAUCGAUACUAAAUAGCCAAUUAUCAAUACAUCUACAUGAAAUAGAAAAAGAAAAGAAAAAAAAACUAAAACAGGGCAUCUAUCUCAAUCAAACAUAUACCAUUUCAACAAGUUUAUAAAACCUCAGUAUUCAUCAUCAACACAUCCAUAUUUGUAAUUCAAUACGUCAUCAAUAAUUUACACUAAGUACACCAAUGAACUAACAUCAAGCGUCAAUUAAUUCUAUGAGUAACAAAAUCAAGCAAUCGUUUAAAACAUCAUGGCAGUAGUCAACCAACAAUCUACCAUAUUGCCUUAUUCCCACAGUUUAAAAUAAUAGCAAUAAUAUCACCUACUCAAUCACUAAGCAUAACUUGGAUAACUUUCUUAGAAUUUCUGCACCGCUCACACCGCAAACACUAAAUAUCUAUAAUGGAUAGAAAGAAAGGGUGAGCUUAAACAAGCUUAGUGAAUGUCAAAAUAACCAUAAAGUAUACACAACAUCAAAAGUGAGACAUGAGCAUACUACAACACAUUCACAACCAUAUUCUAACCAAGUCAGAAUAACAUAUUCACGCUUCAUUAAAUCAUGAAUCUAGCAUAUACUCUCACAUGCAAUUACACUCAACUCGUAUAUAUAUAAUUCAUUUAACGAUAAUUUAUCAAGACAAAACAACGUAUUAAUGCUUUAAUAGCCCACAAAUCUAGGUUAUAUAUACACAUGCAUUUACACAAAACAUUUUCAUAUAUUAAACACUUUAUGAUAAUUUGAUAGUUUGGAAACAUGAAACAUAAAAGUGAGCUCUAUCACCACAUAUUGGAUACAUGAAUCUCCAUUAUAUCAAUUACUCAAAGAGGCUAACAUAUCCUAAAAGUGUAGCAUAAAGCUUAACCUCCAACACACCAAUAUAUCCCAAUGAAUGGAGCUUAGCUCGACAUUUUCUUAUCUUUUUUAACUGUCCUAGGGACUCAUUGCGCAAAACAAAAAACACAAAGGUGAGUACUCACAAUUCUAUGGCACGCCAACUAUAUCCAACAAUUUCAAAAGAUCACAAGACCAAAAUUUUCACAAAUACACACAUUUAAUUACUGAUUUAAUGCACAUAAUCUCUGUUCAUAAUCAUCAAUGCAUAUUAUAAAUUUGUUCACAGUUCAUGCUUAUCAGAUUCACAUUUAAUUACACUUUAAGUGCCACAACUAUGCUCAUUGAGACAUCAUAUAUUCAUCCAUAUAGGUGUACAUUAAAAUCAUAGUUUAUUAGCAUCACAUUCCACAAUUCACACAUAUGUACUUAUCAUUUUUUGCACACUUUCACUGUAUAUUUUUAUUGCUAACACAACAUUAUCACUGUCACUUGGCAUGUUUAAUAUGCCCACAACUAACACAUUCACAAGAGCUAUCACAAUAUAUAUAUCACAUGUCACAUUAUCACAACUUAAUACUCAAUCCACAUCACACAAUCACAUACUUUGCAAAUUAAACGGGGGUAUAAGAAAGCUUACACUCGAAACUUAGGAUAGGGGUUUAGGCUACUCUUAGGCUCCCAAUGAACAAUAUGAAUCGUGUCUACUAGCAGCAAUUCCACAUACACACUGUUCACGCUUUCGCCUAAUUGCCGAAAGCUUAAACUAGCUUUUCUUUGCCUUUCGCCUUCUCGUAGAAGGCUCCAAUAGUUUCGAUUCUUUACACAUAACAAACACACAAUAUAUACAAUUAAUUAACAGCCAUAACACACCUUAAACUUACAAAAACACAGGUCUAAGGCUAGUUUCUCUUGGAACUGAAAUUUUUGACUAACAAACUUGAAACUCAAAUAUCUUAAUCUUUACUAAUUCCCAUUGUCUAUAAUUGAUUCCAAUCAUCUAAUUAUAUAUCUAAGAAUAAUUACUAACCUUCAAACUAUACAGAUUCAUGGUUCCAAAACUUCUACAUAAAAUAGCCAUUUUUCAUAAAAACUCAUUAAAAUCUUAGAAUUCUUUAACGAAACUUUAAGGAGUGUUUAAAAACCUUCUAAUCACAUCAAAACUAAUUCAAAAACACUUUGAAAACUCAUUUUUAUUCAAAAUCCCCAAAUCCACCAUUAAUGACCCAAUUUUCGACAUUUAUUCAAAACAUUUGAUUCAAUAGGUAAAAACUCUAUUUUAAAGGCUCGGUAAAAUUAAAAAAUAAUAAGAAAUCAAAACAUUACCUUCGUUGAAGGAGAAUCAAACAUUUGAUUAAAAACCAGAAAAAACUCACUUGAAGAAAAAUCAGUGGAUUUAAUGGUGUUUUUUGUGUCUUUCUUUGAAUUCAAAGGGGUUUAUAUGUUUGAAGGAUAAUAGAAAACAAGAGAUUGGAGUAAUAGAUGCCAAAAAAUGAAGGAUGAAAUUUUGGGGUUUUCAUCUUUAAUGGACGACACAAAGAAAAUGGAUGAAGGGAUUUCUUUCUAUUUUUUUCAUUCACGUCAAAAGUAGGUUUAAAAGGGAAAAAUGGCCUGAUUUUAAAACUUCGUUUGUUUAUUUUAAAACUACUCUUAAUUUAACCAUUUUACAAAACAGUCCUCUUUCAAAAAAUUAAAGUUCUUUCCUACCUUAUUUUGAAAAAUUGAUUCAAUUUUCAAAAAGCUAUAGUCAAAAAUAAUUUCGGGUUACCAUAUUUCAAAAUUUCUAAACCCAUUUCAAGCCAAAUCCCUAAUUUAUCUUCAAAACUUCUUGGCCCAAUUUUGGGGUGUGACAACCUACUAAAUAUAACAACGGUACAAAGUGCCUGCUACUACAACACUGGUACAAAGUACCUGCUACUAAAAUCACCUGCAACUAGUGCUUGGUAAAUAUAACACUGACACAGAGUGCUUGCUACGCCCUAAUGACAUGUCAUUUUUAUCCUAGUUAUUCACUGAGUUCACACGAGAUUAACCUAUAUACCUUGAUCCUUUCAUGAUAUUAACCAUAUACCAAGAUUCAUUUGGUACCAACUUCCCAUAGCAUAACAUGUUUCAAAUCGAACAAAUACAAAGCCAUAUUUUUCCUUUCAAGUCUUUGAUCACAUUUACAACUUACCUUUAUCUACCAUGUUUGUUAUACACAUAUACACAAACAAUUAUAUACAACUAUGAUUUCAACAUUAAUAAACAUAAGAACAUCUAAUACAAACUUACUAAAAAGCUGUAGUUACCAACACUUCGACGAUGAUUAUUCAACUACUUUUCCUUUCCUACGAUUAUCAACCAAUUGAUCUGUUUCAUGAUCUAAUAUAAUAAUUUAAUUCAAUUAACCAAUUCAAAUGCCUUAAAACACUUAAAUUCACAUAUUUGACAAUUUAUCAACAUUUUAUACUUUUACCCUAAACUUUUACCUUUUAUUCAUUUUAGACCCUAAACCCGAAACUUACAACAUUGCUUUAGAAAAAUAAUUUUGAAUACCUUCUUAGCAAUGGAAAAAUAUCAUUACUAGUACAAUUAUUAACUUAGCCAUGUAUCAUGCAUAGUCCAAUUUCAAUAUGCAAGAUCCGUAAAACUGAGCCAAGUAUGAGUGUCAUACAUGCAUGCUAAUCCCCAAAACACAAACAAUUCAGAACCACAAUUUUACAAUCCAAAAACUGAAUAACAAAAAUAAUGAGAAAAUAAACCAAAAAUAAAAUUAAAGUAAAGUAAUAUGAUGAAAUUGAGUCUGAAGUUCGUCGUACGUCCACAUGCCAAUUCCAAUCCUAAAGUCAUUCAAUACCUGAGAAGUUAAGGUAAUGGGGUGAGCUUAACAAGCUCAGUGUGAGACUAAACAAACAUGUAUUAGGCAUUCAUUCAAGCAAUUUUAUAGAGAUACCCAUAACACAUUCAAACAUUACCAAUGACAAUUUAAAUGCACAAGAUUGUGACAAAUGCACAUGUGAGAUCCUACCCAUACCACCCACUACACACCAUGAGCUCCUUAAAACCCGUCUGCCAAAAUCCAACAAAUGCGAGCAUAGCGCGAUGUUGAAAAACCACCAAUAAUCAAUAAUGUAGAAAAUCUGUCGAAUAUCAAAUAGUGUGAUACAAUUGGCAAUAACAUAUAAUAUGCGAUAAAAUUGCCAAUCCCCUCAGUACUCCAAAUACAGUGCACUGACUACGAAUAUAUGCGGACUUAAUAUGUCAUCAAUACUCCAUGGAACUCCUCCGUCAACCACAAAAUAUCCUAACCCAAUGCAUAUGCAAUAUGUAACACAAACUCAUACAUAUUCAUAUUUCAAUACUUUUCAUAUUUAUUUGACAUGUUCAACAUGUCCUCAAUAAUCACAUAUUUUUAUUAAAAGGAAACAGUGAUCCAACUUUCAAAUUACCAUCAAGAUGUUAUUUAUCAAUAUCAUUCAAUUCACAUACUUUACGAAUUUCAUUGUGCAUAAAUAACAACCUGAUGAAUAUACAUCAAAGAAAAUAUUUCAUGCAUUUAAAUCAUGCAUAAACCUAAUAUCUCAAUAAUUCAUACCAUUCAUUCAAACAUUCUCAUAUCACAUAAUACAAUUAUGCAUAACAAUAAACUAGCAAUUUUGCCAACACAUUAAUCUUUUAAGGCUCAAAAUGUACCUAAUUUGGCCACUCAAAAAACUUAUAUUUUGGCUAUUAGGCCAAUCCAAUCAGCAAGAUAAUUUACCAAAUAUAACAUGAAAUUUAUCAUUAUCAAACAAAUUUACAAGUUUAGGACCCACACCUUAUUUCUUGCUUCCUCGUAGCACACUAGUGAAUCUUCCAAUUUUCCUUAAUAAGUUCUUAUACAAACCUAAACCAAAAUUCAGUAUAAAUUCAUUGGAUUUACCUUUGAACCAGCCCCCAAAUACCCACUUAUGGGUUCAAACCAAUUGUCAAAAUUAUAACUAUUUUAUGAAUCGAAACUAGCUAGAUUUCUUACACUGUUUUGAUGUGAAUCGUAUGUGCGAUCGUUCUUUGGCUUUACGGAUGAUUUGGGACGUUUGUGACAGCACCUAAUUCAAUAAUAUACUUGAAAAUAGGUAGCUAAUAAUGAUUAAAUUCCUUCAUACAAUCAAUCCAUAACCCUUACCCCACAACUAUGUCGAAACAAAAAACUAGUUUACGCUUAAUUACACUUACGCUUCCCAAUUUGUGGUUCCGAAUGAACAAUCGAUCAAGAAAGUUUUCCCAAAUUUACAUGGGUUUAAAGGAUGAUUAAAAGGUUCAAGAACUAAAAUUUAGGCUAAAAAUAAAUGGUUAAGAUUCAAGAAACAAAACAACCCCCUUUUCUACACAUAUGCGCAUGCACCACCACCCAUGCUGGCUAGAAUUGGGGCUGAAUUUUAAAAUGAUUUGAGAUCUAAUUAAAAGCUAGAAAAUACCUAAAUUAAAAAUUCCCCAAAUUUUAGAUAUGGAAAUUUAGGUUUUUAACUUGCAAUAUUACCCAUGAAAUUAAAAGAGAAAGAGGUCUUACACGAGCUAAUGGAGAUGUGCAGCAAUGGCAUUUUCUUUGCAAGGUUGGAGUUGAUCUUAGAGAUUCAAGAUUUCAGUUUCGAGGCUACUCUAAUUGAAGAAAAAUGGAAGAAAGGUGGGGAUGAAGAUGAUGCUCAAUCUUGAAAACAAAAGAAAGAAGAAUCAAAAGUUAAUGAUGGUGAUAGUUGUGACGGAAACAAUGGUAGGAGAAGGAGAAAAGAAAAAAAAAAGAUCAAGAGAGGGAGAGGAGGUUAGGGACGGAUAAGGUAGGAGAAAAGAGAGUUAAAGGUUGAUUAUUUUGAGUAAAUUUUUUUUAUAUACUUGUGUUUACUAGGCUUGGACAGCAACCCAUUAAAAAACAAGGGAAUUUUGCAAAAAAAUUUUUUUUCCAAGAGAUGAGACAUGAACUUGGGACCUCCAACUAAAUUUCAUGCUUCCAUAUUUAAUGCCCAACCAUUGGGCCAAUUCCUUUAUUUUUUAUGUACUUAUACAUUUUUAUUGAGCUAAAUUUUGGGAUGUUACAAAGGAAGCUCUGCAUGUUGUAACAAAGGCGUGAUCUAAGCCUGGUGGUGGAGAAAAUUUAGAAACUAGUAAGUUUCCUUAUCGUCCUCUGUGUUUAAGAAUUGAGGAAAGAAGUAGAAUAAGACUCUCAAAGCUUUUGUAUAAUUUAAGAUUUUGGGUUUUUAAGAAUUUACCUUCAUUCAUUUAACCACAACAGGGUUGUCAUGCUUAGCCGCCUGGACAAAAGAGGUUCUUUAUUUGGAUUAGCUAAGCUAUCAAGAAUUUACCUCCAUUGUUUUAAACACAACAGGGUUGUCAAAGCUUAGAUGAUUGUUGAAUGAAUAUUUGGUAUAGUACAUUUCUUAAUGAUGUUCUACAUGGUGUGUAUGAUUAGAGCAUGUAUAAUAUGAAAUGGGUGACUAACUAUGGGUUAGGCAAAGUUAGGAAUGAGAAAAGGGGAUGGAUUUGUUAGCUACCACCAUACUGUUUUACUAAGUGUAAACCGUGAUUUGCAAAACCCCGGGCCUUGCAAAGGGAACACUGAAGUGUUCGAGCAUCAAUGCUUAGGAUGGUAAAAUAGAGGAAUGGAUGGAAUAAAAUGGGAAGAGCAAAGAUCAUGGGUAGGCCACGAGACCGAUCAGAUGCUAUACACCUAAAUUGAGUAAGACAAUAGUUGAAAGACACUAUGGUAUCAAGAUAAAGAUGACUAAGACCAUGGCUAAAAGUUGCUACGGCAUUAUGGUAAACAAGACUAAGACCAUAGCUAAAAGACGCUAUGGCAUCCUUUGACAGUCCGCCAGGACAGUAAAUGCUGGAGAACAUAAGGUGUAAGACUAUAGCUGGACUAUGGCUUCUAGUGUAGUCUACCGGAAAGUUAAACACGGGGUUGUAAUGUGUACGACCCUAGUUCAAAGACGCUAUGCCAUCAUAGAUAGUUUGACAGGAUGAGAAACAUAGGAUAGUCCAUCAGGAUAGAAAUCACGGUAUGGUCCGUUGGGACUAUAGAUGAGGGAAAUCCUCUAGAAAGUUAGACAUGGGAAUCACACUAAAAAAAUCCACUGUUUAGGAAUAAUGUCAAGGGUGAGAGUAGAUAUCACAUUGUGCAUAGAAUGACAAGUCAUAAGAAUAGAUGCAUUGGUGCCUCGAAGGAACAUAGACUACUGGAUGAAUGGGGGUGUUAGGGAUGUGUCUUCACACUCAACAAAGUGAAAAGGGAAAGGAAUAUCCUCGGAUAAUGAGGUAAACAUGGUACCUAUAAAUACUAGCCCGCCAAGAAAAUUACAAAAUUUUUGUAUGAUUUAAAUUGGUAAAAAAAGAUCAAUAGUGGGACGUUACUAUAUUUUGUAACACGAUAAAAUGAUUAGUAAAAAUAUUUAAUAAGCUAAUCAAAAUUCUCAACGGGAGAAAUGUAUGUUCAAGCCAAAUGGUUAGAAAAUUCUACCAAGGAAUAAUGGAAGCGGAGGUCAAAUAUAGCCAUGGGGAAUGACAGACAUUUUGUGGAGCUUUCACAAGAUGGAAUUGCAUGUUCUAAAAGGCCUCCAUAAGAAAUAGAUCGAUAGAGUAAGGGAAUUCCGAUACUUGUAGUGAACUUUAGUGCCUUAAAGCAGUAAAGACCAUAAAAUGGGGGACAAGUCCACAAAGUUCGAAGUUGCUUGGGUAGUUGCCCAGUGUCGCCCGCUCGGGAUACUAAAUGCAAAUACCAAGAAGUUGAAUAUUUGAGUUGGAAACUUUGCACUUUUCUUAUAUUUUGUAUGCUAUUCUCACUAAGUUCUUUAGAACGUAUAAGUUUUCUACUCAAAUAUAGGCUAUCUAAAGAUUUAGACAUUGCAUAGGACCAAGCAAGAGUUCAUUAGGAGUGAGGCAAAAUGCGAAAGCUUGCAUGUGUACAAAAAGGCACCCGUAGAGGCUCUGCCUCUAGGGCUUAAUGGUCAUUUUAUGUUUUUGAGUUUUAGUCCAAAAACUUUGUAAUUUAGUAAUGAAAAUGAACAUCUAAAGUUUUAUCAUUAGUUGGUAUAAUUUGAUUAAGUAAUUUAAUUUCAUAAAGGAAAUUAGUUAAGAAAUUUCGGUUAUUGUGGCAUCCAAUACUCGAACUCGAUGAACAGGUUGAGCAAUAGGGUUACAAUUUAGUGGUAUUAGAACUUUAAUUUAGCUGAUCCUCUCGAUGUAGGUGUUACGAGAUAGCCCUUGUACACAUGCUUGCAUUAUAUCUAGCUUAGUCAUUCGAAUGGGGAUAGGCGAUGGUAAGCAUGACAAGGAUAAGUACAAAGUUUAGCGAAUUAUAGUCAGAAUGAUGAAAAAUAUAAAAUAUAAAAAGAAAGAGAAUGAAAAUUUAUUUUGAUAGGGAAAACUAGUACAAAUGCCAAAAGGCAAUACGAUAUCCUUCUCAAAAAGCAGAUUAGUUGUAUCUUCUAUGUUUUUCUCCCCUCAUCAAUAGCCUUUUUCGAUUGAAACAAGAAUAGAGAGCUUAAGAUCUAGUGGGAAAAAGAAACCACCAUAAUUUUUCCAUUUCUUCUAAAACUCUUCCCACUUGAUGCUAGAAGGAUUCAUUUCAUUAAAUCUCGAGUUCUCGUUAAUGGCGCAGAUAGCUGAAGUCCACUUAACUCUAAUCAAAGAGGCCCACACCAGUCAUUGCUUUGUAUUGCUCCAAGGCUUCAUUGUCUUCCUUUUAGGCCCUCUUCGGAUCUACCAAGUUGCACUCCUCUUGCACCUUCAUUUGGUCAUGCAUUUUAUGGACCCUAUUCUCAAGCUCCUUUUUUAAAGAAUUGAAUUAAGACUCCUAGCUAGAGGUAUAUUCAGCGAUCUCCUGAGCCUGAUGAGAUGCGACCUCCUACGCCUGGUGAAAUUGAACUAGUUUUUGAUUUUGAGAGGCUAGGGUCACCUCCAUUGAGCUUUCUUUGUCUCAUUCUUGUGACAACGAUCAUGGAGGGCCCAGGAAAACAAUCCAGAUUCCUCUACCAUGAUUUGGUAGGAGUCUAGCAACUUUGAGAGAGUUGGUUUACGAGCUUUAGAGGAAGAAAGGAGAGUAUAUUCUUUCAGUUCCUGGGAUAGGUCCCUCUCCCAACAUUGGCUAAUUCCAAUUGGGGAGAAAGUAAGAUAACCUACAGAAAAAUGGCCUCACUAAGGGAGUAGACUUGACAUCCUGCUAAAAGAACUGGGAUAUUACCUUGGCCCAAGAUGAAGAGAUGGCAGUGUAGAAUGGGCAGUUCGAGGGGUGGACUCAUUAGGCGAAGUAAUGUCCAUAGGAGUAAUGGACCCAAUUUGAGUCUUUGGAUGAGACGAGAGGAUAAGAAAAGUAAGCUCCCCCUCGAAAUUGAUUGGUCUUUUACCCCGCUUGCUACGAACCAGCCUACUACCACUGCUUUCUUCGGUACUUCGAGAUUUUCUUUUAUUUCUCGGCCUCUUAGGGCUGCUACCAACCACCUGCAUCAUUCUGUCGGCAUUGGCGAUGAACUUCUGUGAUUUCUCCACAAUGACUUCACGUCCAUACUGUUCAAGGUUUGAGAUAGGGUGAAUGAUUGGGCAGAAUUUGCAAAUAAAAUAUUAGAUAUCAAUCAUACGAGGAAUAAAAUCUUUACUUAGGAAACUUACCAACAACUAUUGUUGGUAGAUUGGACCAAUGAUGCACGUGUUUCCAACAAUAAGCAUAAAAUAAAUGAGGAGGUUCUUCCUUCUUCACAACUAAAAUAGCAGCUAGAUCAUCAACAGCAAUGUAAGGACACACCUUGUCAGAGGGGUGUGCACGUCGAGAGAUAGUCUCAACACCAGAAUCCAAGGGUUUGUAACCAUUUGAGCCAUGGUUCUUUAGAUAGAAUUAAAAGGCGGUUCUAACAAUAAUAAGGUUCUCUAAUAUGAGAGAGAGAUGUCUGACUUCAAGCGAUUGAAUUGAUCCUCCGCAGCCUCAUUGUAUAGUUGUUGUUUACAGGUACAGUUAGAUUCAGGAGGAAUAAACCAUUGGGUAUCCGCUUCUUAGAUUACACCUCGCCUAGAUGAAUUUAUUUCUGUUGAGGUGAAGGUCAGAAGCUUAGUUUUUUAUAAUGGACUCACACCUUAGAGGGUGCUAAAGUGGGUCAACCUACUAGAAGACCCACGAGAAGUCAUCUUUAAUUAGUAGAUUCUUUGGAUAAAGCCAAGGAUGGGUAGCUCACCCUUCAAAUUGCAGUCGAUAUAGUAGGCCAUUAAGGUCCACCAAAAUAAGCUGGCGAGUUGCCCCAGUGCAACCCCAUGCUCGUUAAUGACAGGGCAAAAUAAAGGAUUUAAUGGGAGAUGGAACCUAACUUCGAACAGUUAGAGAAGAAUGAGGAUAUGGUUGGAAUGAUAGCUUAAUCGACACUCACCUAGGACAAGACUGAAAUCGUAGGUGAAGUUGGGAAGUUAAAUCCCUCUAACACCUAGGAAAGGGACCAUUUCCCCAUGAUUUAUGGUGCAGUGAAACAGAGGGAUCUCCACUAGGGUACUUACCCCGUAACCACUGGGUCCGACCCCAUCACCUUCCCUGUCACCACUGCAAUUUUUCAUGCUACCACCACUACAAUGGCUAAUACCCUCACGAUGACUCUGUUUAAUUCUUACCAUUUAGGGGGGAAGAUGAAAGAAGCAGAAAAGGAUUAGGAAAUUACCUGAUAGACUUGCUGAAAAUUGAUCAGAGAUAAAAGAAAAAGGAACCUAGAUGAAUGAGCAAUAAAGGCUAAGGGGGAAACUAGGGAUUUGGAAGGAAACUUAGUUGGUAAGGAAUUGAAGAGUAAGUUUUGAUGAAAGGCCUCUUUUCCUAAUACCUUGAUUUAAGUAGCCAAACGUCUAAGGGAAGUUUGGAAAAUUUUUAGAAUAAACUAUUUAAAUCCUCGAACCCAUAGAUGACACAUGUUGAGCAGAAGAAAGCUUUUUCUUAAACCCCUCGAUAACCAGAAAAGUGAAAGCGUCCUCCAAAGUUGAUCGUUUAUCAAGUAUUUGUCAUAUGACCCAUUUUAACUUUGAAAGUUAUCUAAUUGUGUUGUGCGAAGAUAUGACUGGCUAAUGGUAUAAGUAAGAAUCCUUCAGAAUUGGUACAAAAUGGUCCUUGUGCCAUAAAAUUCCUUAAGUGUUAGGGUAGAGUUGUCGGUGAGCAAGAUGAGACCUAAACAAAAUUUAGGGCAAUAAAGUAGCAACGUGUCCCCAAGAAAGACGAAAGUAACUGCCCUUAGGUAUGCAAAGAAUUUCCUAAGACAAGAGAAGAUAGAGUGGACAUUACCAUGGGAAACUUAGGUAAGAAAGGAAAUUUCAAAGAUGAAAUUUUCUUCAAGGGUGGGGGAGUUGUCACACUCGGUUACCAUAAUUGACCCAAAAAUUCAAGAAAGCUAGGAUUAAAUUGAAAAUACUAGCGAAUUAUCAAAAUCUGUUGGGAAAUUAGGAAAAUCCUAGGGACUGAAUUGUGAAUAGUUGGAUUCCAAUUCCAUUUCUAUUAGACGAGAACCAACUGGUUCCAAAGUUAUAGACAAAAUGAUUAGGAAUGGAUGGUGGGAAGGGGCGGUAAAGACUGUGCCCAAGGAGUAUAAUAUGGGCGAGAGUGGAGACAGAAUUCAAUGAAUUUGUUUGUAAGUCUUCACCUCCCUCUAGCAUAAUCUUUUUCAGUCAUUCUAAAGAAAAAGGGAAUACAGAUGAAAGAAGCUAUGUAUGUCGUAACAAAGGCAUGAAUCAAAGCCUGGUGGUGGGCAAUUUGAUGAAUUAGUAAGUUUCCUUAUCUUCCUCUCUGUUUAGGAAGUGAGGAAAGAAGUAAAAUAAGACUCACAAAUCUUUUGUAUAAUUUAAGAUUUUGGGUUUCUAAAAAUUUUCCACCAUUGGUUUAACCGCAACAGGGUUGUCAUGCUUAGCCGUCAGGACAAAAGAGGCUCUAGCAUUUGGAUUAGCUAAGCUAUCAAGGAUGAGAAAACAAGGUGAGUGACUCCACUUUGUCAUCUGGUUGUUAUAUGUAAUUAUGAGAAAUUACCAUGUUAAUGCUAAUAGUAAGAGUAGAUGAUUGUUGAAUGAAUAUUUAUCAUAGUACAUUGCUUAAUGAUGUUUUUCAUGGUAUGUAUGAUUAGAGCAUGCAUAAUAUGGAAGGGGUGACUAACUAUGGGUUAGGCGAAGUUAGGAAUGGGAAAAGGGGAUGGAUUUUUUAGAUACCACCAUAUGGUCUUGCUGAGUGCAAACCAUGAUGUGUGAAGCUCCAAGCCUUGAAGAAGGACCAUUGUGGUGUUCGAGCAUGAUGGUAUAGGAUGGUAAAAUGAAGGAAUGAAUGGAAUGAAUGGAAUGAAAUGGGAAAAGUAAAGGUCAUGGCUAGGCCAUGAUCCGGUCAGAGGCUAUACGCCUAAAUUGAGUAAGACCAUAGCUGAAAGAUGUUAUGGCAUCAAGAUAAAGAUGAGUAAGACCAUGGCUGAAAGAUGCUAUGACAUCAUGGUAAACAGGACUAAGACCAUAGCUGAAAGAUGUUAUGCCAUCCUUUGAUAGUCCUUUGGGACAAUAAACACGAGGUUGUAAUGUAUAAGACCCUAGUUGAAAGACGCUACAAUAUCAUAGAUAGUUCGUCGGGGCAAAAAUAAUGGUAUGGUCUGCCGGGACUAUAGAUGUGGGAAAUUGUUUAGAGAGUUUGUAACACCCUUAUCCCAUACCCGUCGCCAGAUUAGGGUUAUGAGGCAUUACCGACUAACAUAUAUCUCAGAUCAACUUCUAUCAUAAAUUAACCAAUAUAAUAUUAAAUCAACUAUCAUGCUUCAAUUUAAUAUUACAUAAGAUUAUAAAAUUAAAAUAAUCAAAUAAUAACAAGAAGGAAACAUACAACAUUUUUAAAAAAAAAAUCUUUUAUAACCUUUGAGCAAUAUAUGUGUACAAUUUUUUAUAAUUAUACAAGAAUCAUACGCAUACCAUAAGCAAGCAACCACGGAUUAUUAUUAUUUUUUACAAAUAAAUAGAUAGUCUAUAAUAGUCUUUAUUAAUCUGUUUAUGACGUUUUCAUAUCAUGAACAAAUAUUCAUAACAAUAGCUCAAACAAAUAACUACUUAAGUAAUCCAUAAUUAUUAUAGUAAUAUAUAUCAUGAGAGAUCGGUACAAAACCAUGUUUACCUUCCAUCUAAUUAACUAACAAAUAUUACCUUUGUCAAAACACAAGUAAAAAUAAACCUAACACAUGAAUAUAUAUUUUUCUUGAAAGCGUAUAUAUGCAUAUUACAAUGUCACGAUAUAAAUCCAAACAUUAUCCUGGCAACUAUGAAUUCACAAGGCAAGUCAUUUCAUCAUAAGAAAAAAUAGCUAUACAAGCAUGUACCGAAUCUUAAGUUAGCUAAAACCAUUUCAUGAAAACUUAUUUUAUAACCGACUAUACCUAUAUAUAUAUGAAAUAAUCGUCAAGACUAAUCAUGUAACAAAACAUACCUCACAAGUAUAAGUCUUUGACCACAUUUAAACCUAUACAAAAUAUAAAUCUUUCAUGCCGUAUAACGAACAUACCAAACAACAUAAUUCAUGUUCGAAUAUAACCAAUUAACAUUUAAUGCCAAACCACAUAAUAAAACUUACAUUGAGCAUAACUACCUAAUCCUCUUGGAUAUAUAUUAUCUUAUUAUGAAUCAUGUUUAAACAACCAAAUAUAUCUAGGUUUAUAUAUUACAGCCAACACAUUCAAACAUCAUCCAAGACUUUAACCAACUUAAAUGCACAACCAUGCACGUAUCGCAACAUUACUUUUUAAAGCGUAAAAUGCCAUAACUAAAAUAAACGCAAAACACAGGUAACCAUAACCGAUCCUAGGCAAGAUGGUUAAGCCAUUUUCACAUGGCAUAUAUAUAUACAUUCAUUUCCAAAAUAUUUAACCUCAAAACCAACCUAUACAUGCCAUAAUUUAAGUUUAGUUUAAGGUACAAAAUUUGUAGAUAGUGUGAUGAACUUGGUUGAUAAUCCCCGAGCUUGCAGCUUGACUUCAAAAUCUAUAAAACAGAGUAACGUAAUACACAAAGUAAGCUACCACAACUUAGUAAGUCAUAAGCAAUAAACAACUCAAUAACACAUUUGAUCCAUGUCAACUAAAUGAAAUGCAUUAACAUUAUUAACCACCUAAGACGAAUACAUAUACUAUCAUUUAAUACAAUAUAAAUCAACUUCCAAACUAGUAGCCAAAAUAACCACACAUCCAUUUACUCUUUUAUGCAACUUAAGAAUCAUCAAAUGUCAUCCCAUGUAUAAAUAAUACCUAGGAAGCCGAAUACACAAAUUAUAUGUACACAUGUUAAGUUACAUUUCAGUACUACACAAAUUGUUCAUUCAUACGCUGAAUACACAUAUCCAAAUACACAUGGAAUCCUCAUUUGCAUUGUACAAGAUUUACAACACAUAACUAUAGUACUUUCUUACCUUAUCUUAAGUAGACAUCAAGUUAACUCAUACUUGAUCAUUUAGCUCGUAAUAUACAAUCCAUACGCAGUUUACCUUUUCCCGAUAAACCAUUAGGAAUUGGUUAGGAAACUCGGAUAAUCACAUAAAUCGUACAAUGCCAACGUCACAAACGUGGUCUUACAUGUAGCCACAAAUCGAUGCCAUUGUCCCAGAUAGGGUCUUACUCAUAAACACAUAUCGAAACCACAAAUCCAUGCCAUGGACUUACUCGCACACACAUAUCGGAAUCCUAUGUCAUGACAUAUGUAUCCUAGCUAUUCCUAAGGUUCAUACAGGGCUUUCGAACGUCGUAACUCAAUCGGAAUGAACUUAGUAACGCAGUAACAAAACCUUUUUAUAUUCAGUUAUAUCAAACAUAAAUUCUCAUAUUUCAUAAAAGCAUGUAUAUUUUAUAUUUAGCUACAAUUAAACACGUCUAUUUGCUUAAAAACUUACCUCGGACGUCGUAAAACAGAACGGGGUUGCUAGUCGACAACUUUCAUUUUUCCCCGAUCCAAAUCUGAUUUCUUUGGUUCUUGAUAUAAACACAUUCAAAUUAAGCUAAUUCAACAUAUUUUCAUUCAAUUUAGUCCAAAAACACAUAAAUAGGAAAAUUACUAUUUUACCCCUGACAUUUACAAUUUUUACAAUGUAGUCCCUAUUGCAUAAAACACAAAAUACACCAAAUUUCUCCACACCCAAGCUAGGCUAAAUAUUACCCAUGUCUAUACAAGCCCAUAUAAUUCUUUAAUUUCACAUUUUAGUCCCUCAAAUUAUUAUUUUUUCAAUUAAGUCCUAAUUACUCGAAAUCAUAAAAAAUUUCAAUACAAAAUAUGUUAAUCUAAAACAUAUCUUUCAUUUUUCAUCAUCAAACAACAAAAAUCACAAGCUAUCAACAAUGGUACAACUCAAAAUAUUCAUCAAAAUCAAAAAUUCAAGCAUGGGUUUUUAAGAUUACUAAGCAACGAUCUCAAAAACGUAGAAAUUAUCAAAAACCGAAAAGAAUCUAACCUUGAUUGAGGUUUAAAAGUGCUGAACCCUAGCCUUUGUUUUUUUUUUCUAUUUCUUUGUCUUAUUUUCAGUGUAUGAACAAGGAAAAAUGAUAUGAAAUAAACUUAUUUUAUGUUUAUUAUAUGAUAGUUUAUAAUAUAUUAUUUCAUUUCCAAAUUUAACCUUAAUUAUAACAUUAUAUUAUUUCAUUUAAAUGUCCUUAGCCGUCCAACAGUAUAUAUAUUGGGCUAAUUUCAUCAUAACUACUCUCAUUUAGAAAGCCAUCUACAAUUAAUCCCUUUACAAAAUAAACUACCCACUUUUCAAUUUACACGAUUAAGUCCUUUUAUUUAAUCGGACACAUAAACGAUAAAAUUAAAUUACGAAAAUUUCACAGAUAUAAAUUCACACAAAAUAAACACAAAAAAUAAUUUUUAAAUAUUUUUCUGACUCAGAUUCGUGGUCCCGAAACCACUGUUCCAAUUAGGGUCUAAAUAGAGCUGUUACAGAGUUAGACAUGGGAAUCAUAAUUAAAAAAAUCCAUUGUUUACCAAAAAUGUCAGGGGUGAGAGUAGAUAUUGCAUUGUACAUGGAAUGAUAAGUAAUAAGAAGAGAUGAGUUGGUGCGUCUAAGGAACAUAGACCACUGGAUGAAUGAGGAGUGCUGAGGAUGUGUCUCUACACCUGAUAGAGUGAAAAAGGAAACGAAACUCUUUGACUAAGAAGGUAAACAUGGUACCUGUAAAUACCAGCCCGCCAAGAAAACUAUGAAAUUAUCGCAUGAUUUAAAUAGCAGAGAACAAUUUCGUAUUUUGUAAGAUGAUAAAAAAAUUACUUGAAGUAUUUAAUAAGCUUAUUAGAAUUCUCAAAGGAAGAAACAUAUGUUCAAGGCCAAAUGGCUAGCAAAGUCCGUCAAAGAAUAAUGGAUGCGGAGGUUAGAUAUAGCCAUCGAGAAUGGCAGGGAUUUUGUGGAGCUUUCACAAGACAGAACUACAUGUUCUAAGAAGCCUAUGUAAGAAAUAGAUCGACAGUGAAAAGGAAAUCCAGUACUAGUAGUGAACGUUAGUGCUCUAAGCAACGAGGACCAUAAAAUAAAGGAAAUGCCCACAAACUUUGAAGCUGCUUGGGUAGUUUCCCAACGUUGCUCGCCCAGGAUAGUAAAUGCAAAUACUAGAGAGUUGAAUUUUUGAGUUGGAUGUUUUGCACAUUUCUUAAAUUCUAUAUGUUGGUUAUGGGGUCGUUGAGAGCACCAAAAAUAUCCUACCCCUAUAAAAUGUUGAAAAUAAUAAAAAUAAUAGUAUAAGGGAAAUAGGAUCAAAUCCUCAAGGACUGGAUUUGCACAAUUGCUUGUUCCUCGAAAUCUUGGUCAAAAUCGUGCCCAAGAAAACUUGCGUACCCGGAAAAGAAAAAAAAUUAAAAGUUUUGAUCUAGAAAAAUUAAAUAAAAAUAGAAUUAAAAGUUUUUAUUGGAAUUUCGAAAAAUAAAAAUAAUAGAAAUAAAUAAAGUUGAGGAAAAUGUGUUCUUAUAGAGAGGUUCCAGCCUCCGGUUCUCUCGAUCCGCCUUGGGUUCAAUCCUUGGCUUUUAGGAGAUCCUUCUUAAAUAGAAUAAGCCAGUUAUAGUGGAAGAGGACGCCUAUGAUCACCAGCUCCAAGAAUUUAGACUUACAAUUUAGAAGAACCUAACUUUAGCCAACAAUCGUUUCUGUGGGAUCAUCUUAUGCUAGAUCAUCACUUCUCAAUGGCUAAUCUCAAGCCAUUUUAUCUCUUGGGCUGGCCAACCUCUGGCGCAGUAAGCUAACAAACCGACUGUGUAACCUUCUCAAAACAUACAAAGCGGUUGCCUUUGCACACAUUGAAAAGAUCACUUUUUAAGGGACAUGAACAGAAGCGUCAGCCCCGUAAUGCAGAGAAACGAUGAAUAUUCGUCGAGAAAGAUAAGUACGGAUUCUAUGCCUCAAGAACCCUUUUUUGGCGAAUUUUGACAACCUUCGGCUAGAUAGAUUUAGUGGCUCAUGAUUUUUAGGGAAAAACAAAUAAAUAUAAUGGAAAUAGAAUUUUUAUUAAAAUAUAAAAAGAACAAAAAUGGCUAAACUUUAUGGAGAGAAAGUGUUUACAGAAAAACAUCUGUCCAAUUUGUGUCAUUCCAUCCCCUAUUUAUAGUACCAAGAAACCUAGCAUAUUCCUAAUUAAAUUCUAUAAGAUAAAUACAAAUAAUUAAAGAUAAUUAAAAAUAAAUGAAAAUAAAUCCUAAAAUUAAAUCUAAAUAAUAAUCCUUAAUAAUUAUCCUAAUAUAAUUACACAUUAAAUAAAGUCUUGUGCUUAAAAUCUCUUCUUUUGCACUUUUGCCCUUAUGUCUUCCAUACUUGCAUUUUUGGCACCACCUUUUUCCCUAUGUCACAUGUUGGCCCAUUUUAUCUUUAAAUUUGCACUUUUUUCUUUAAAUUUUCUUUUUCCACCAAUUCAGUCCCUGAAAGAUAAAAGACCAUAAAUAGCUCAAAUUAGUAGGGUCAUACUCAAAAUAAACAUACAAUUAGCACAUAAAAUAUGAUGUUCUAAAGUAUUAUCAAAUUCCCCCUACUUAGCCCAUGCUUGCCCUCAAGUAUGGUUCCUAUCCACUGUGAAAUUUAGAAAUUGCCAUGAAAGAAGUACUACUCCAAAGUUUUAUAAAAAUUAGUCAAAAUGCAUAUGAAAAAUAAAGAGAACCCUUAGCUUGUUUUAAGUAAAAUUGAAAAUGUAUUCCAAUUAACACACAAAAAAUAAGAUCGACUUGGAUUAGUUCAUGAAAAUUAAGUAAUUUACCAAACUUACCAAGACACCCUAUUUUUUUCUACCUUUAGUCCUCAAAUUUUAUUAACACGCCUUUUUUUUAGUUAUUUAUUUAUUUAGUUUUGCUUAAGAAUAUAUUAAACCUUUUGACGUGAAGAGAGAUGACAGCCAAGCACCUCACCCUGGUUACUCAACCCAAUACACUCCUAAUUUUUAUUUUUCUUAAGAACAUAUCGAACCUUUUGACGCGAAGAGAGAUGACAACCCAAGCACCCUACCCCGGUUACUCAGCUAGUCACGUCUUAAACUGUACCCAUAACCACGAAAACAUUAUUAUUAUUAAACAAAAUUUUAAUUUUGGAGGACUUAGAAGCAACAAUUAAGUGUCAAAAAUAGUUUCAGCAACCACUUUAAUAGUCAUGAACAUAUUUUAAGCAUGCAAUUGUAUUAAGUGUCCUCUUUUCAUUUAGACUUAAUCAAUUAUACUAUAAGCAAGAUAGGGUUGACUUUAUCGAUCAUAAUUAUUUAUCCUAAAAGAAAUAAAACAAUGAAGAUGAAAUCAAAUAGGCAAAAUCAUAACUAACUCAGUAGACAAAAAGCAUACAUGUGGGUCAAACAGUGGGUAAGUCGUGAUCAAAUUCUUGGGCAUGAAAAGAGGUAGAAUAUUCUUAAAAAAAUUAUAUGGGUAGAAACAACCAAAGCGGCAGCAACAACAACAAAAACAGCAUCUAAAACGACAGAAAUAAUGAGAAAUGCCUCCCCCUACUUAAAACACAUAGUCCUCGAUGUGGAAUAAAUAAAUAUAUAGGCGGAAGAAAAGUUUAGAAGAACUCUCCAUGUAAUUACUGUCGUUCACGCAUAAUGGCAAUGAGUUCAGCUAGCUGCUGGCCAAAAGUGUUAAGUCGAGCCUCGAUGCGCACUAAGCGUUGCUUAACAGUCAUCGAAGGUUGGGUUGGAGUGGGUACUUCGUUCUGAUUUUAUUGUCGAAAGACUCAUUCAACCGGUGCGAAGCGAACGCCUGGAGGGACAAAAUGGAAGGAAGAUGGAGUGCUAAGAAGUAGUCCCAUCGAGUCGAGGCAUCGAGCAUCCAAAGGAUCAGCCUGACAAGCAACAUGCAAAUCUGAAAUAGGAGCAUUAGAACCAUGUAGAGAAAAUAACUGUUGUGUAAUAAAUAAGCCUAAAAUUAGAGGACGCUUUGCAUUUAUAACAUAUUUGAAUUGAAACGCAUACCAAUAACCGAAAUUUAUCGGACGACCGGUAUACAUAUACCAUAAUAAGAAUAAUUCUGUCUUCGACACGGUAGCUAGAGCAUCUCAACGGCCUGAAAAUUUGUAAGCCAAAUAACGGUGUAUGUAACAUAAGGCGGGGUUACGAAGCCAUAAAUCCUUUGAUGUUUUUGGGCUAUACAUGGAUUCGACACUAUCAGUUAACAAAGCGAAGGCCUCGAAAGCCUUAAAAUCUACAGGAAAAGUACAUAGGCUAUUUUUAUAAUUAGUGGACAUAGUAUAGUCCUCAGUCAUAAAAAACAAUGCAAUAUUAAAAUCCAUGAGGGAUAAACUAUGCAUGGUACCAAGUAACCGAAAUUUGACAACACUAGGUGUAUCCAAUGAUAUUUGACCGUGUCGCUAAAAACGGAAGGUUAGAAUAAAACUCUAAAACUAGUUGCAAGAUGUACAGCAUCCAAAACAGGUAAUGACAAACAUUUGCAGGGAAGUAUCUAUUUUUGUCCAAGUCGAUCAUACCUUUCCCGAUCGGUGGCAGAAGUAAAUGUCAGAUUACCGUGCAAUUAGCAUUCUAGUGGAAGGAUAUUGACGCGCGAUUGAUAGGUGCAGCCACGGGUAGGUAAUGGGCAUUGGUCGUCGUGACUCUCAGAGGGACCGUUGUACAUGUGCUGUUCGGCACUGUCGAAGUUGGAGUCGAUGGAGGAACCGACGACCGAAGAUGUUGGUUGGGUCGAAGGGCGUGGUGGCUGACGUCGAGAUUAGUAGCACGACAGCUCAGGCGUCGAACAAAGCGGCUGUAGUGAUGGGGGAAGGUGAAGAAUAAGGCCGCGUGAAAGGGAAGAAAAAGCGACGAAAGAAUGGCGUUGAGGAGAAGAGAGGGUGGGUACGUUACCGGUGAGCGGAGGAGUGGAAGAGUGUGUCGAUGUUACGAGAAGCGGAGAAGAAAAAUGGGAAAAGAGGAUGGCAUUCCGUACGGGUUGAGUGGAGAAGAGGAAGAGGAGGUUAAAGGCGUAGAAGUGGAGGAAGGGGAGGGAGUUUCGUGUGGCGGAAAAGAGGAGGGAAAGGGUGUGUUGUCGGGCAAAUCGAUGUGUCAGGGUGCCAAAAAUCGACGCUGAUGGCUGUUGACGGUAAAGGAAGGUUCAGCGACGGCUCAGCUUCAGGUUCUCACCAUGGUGGUUAGAGAUCAGCAAUAGAGGGGGUGGGGAAGGGUUUCAGCAGCUGAUGGAAUUUUUGGGAAAAAAUAGGUUGAAAUUUUUAGGUUUUGGGGUUUUAUUCGGCUGAAUGGGAGUGUUUGGCUGUAGGUUUUGGAUAGUCUAGGGUAAGAACACGCUAUUCCUGGCUAGAAUAGGAAUGGAAUAAAGGUUGUUUGGCUGCAGGUUUUGGAUAGUUUAUGGUAGGAACGUGCUAUUCUUGGCUGGAAUAAGGAUGGAAUGAGGGCUGUUUGGCUGCAAGUUUUUUGUUUCCCUCUUUUUUUUUCUCCCUAUUGUUGCUUCAGUUUACCUAGACAGAAGAAGAAAAUUUUAUCAACAUCCAAAAAUAAAAUAAAGUAAAAUUAAAUUAAAUUAAAUUAAUUAAAAUUAAUAAAUAAAAGUAAAAAUAAAAAUUGGGUUGCCUCCCAACAAGCGCUUAUUUAACGUCGUUAGCUCGAUGUCGUGAAAGGUUCUAUGGUGGUUCUAGAUGAAUCUUUUCAACCAUGUGGGCUUGAAAAUUCUCGUAAAACGGCUUCAAUCGUUGGCCAUUAACUAUGAACCGUUUUCCUGAUUCUUCACAUUCUAUUUCAACCGUACCAUGUGUAAAUACUUUGGUCACAAUAAAAGGUCCUUGCCGUCGAGAUCAAAGCUUACCUGGGAAUAACUUUAAUACGGAGUUAUAAAGCAAAACCUUUUGUCCUACCGAAAAAUGCUUCUAAACUAUUUUCUUAUCAUGAAACAGCUUUGUCUUGUCCUUAUAAAUGCGAGCAUUCUCGUAGGCAUCAUUACGAAUUUCCUCCAAUUCUUGAAUAUCUAAUUUCCUCGCCUUCCCUGUGGGUUCUAACUCCAUGUUACAUUGUCGAACAUCUCAAUAAGCUUUAUGUUCCAAUUCAACCAGAAGAUGGUAAGCUUUUCCAAAAAUAAGCUGAUAUGGGGUCAUGCUAAUUGGUCCUGGGAUAGGUCCCUCUCCCAACAUUGGCUAAUUCCAAUUGGGGAGAAAGUAAGAUAACCUACAGAAAAAUGGCCCCACCAAGGGAGUAGACUUGACAUCCUGCUAAAAGAACUGGGAUAUUACCUUGGCCUAAGAUGAAGAGAUGGCAGUGUAGAAUGGGCAGUUCGAGGGGUGGACUCAUUAGGCGAAGUAAUGUCCAUAGGAGUAAUGGACCCGGUUUGAGUCUUUGGAUGAGACGAGAGGAUAAGAAAAGUAAGCUCCCCCUCAAAAUUGAUUGGUCUUUUACCUCGCUUGCUACGAACCAGCCUACUACCACUGCUUUCUUCGGUACUUCGAGAUUUCCUUUUAUUCCUCGGCCUCUUAGGGCUGCUACCAACCACCUGCAUCAUUCUGUCGGCAUUGGCGAUGAACUUCUGUGAUUUCUCCACAAUGACUUCACGUCCAUACUGUUCAAGGUUUGAGAUAGGGUGAAUGAUUGGGCAGAAUUUUCAAAUAAAAUAUUAGAUAUCAAUAAUACGAGGAAUAAAAUCUUUACUUAAGAAACUUACCAACAACUAUUGUUGGUAGAUUGGACCAAUGAUGCACGUGUUGCCAACAAUAAGCAUAAAAUAAAUGAGGAGGUUCUUCCUUCUUCACAACUAAAAUAGCAGCUAGAUCAUCAACAGUAAUGUAAGGACACACCUUGUCAGAGGGGUGUGCACGUCGAGAGAUAGUCUCAACACCAGAAUCCAAAGGUUUGUAACCAUUUGAGCCAUGGUUCUUUAGAUAGAAUUAAAAGGCGGUUCUAACAAUAAUAAGGUUCUCUAAUAUGAGAGAGAGAUGUCUGACUUCAAGCGAUUGAAUUGAUCCUCCGCAGCCUCAUUGUAUAGUUGUUGUUUACAGGUACAGUUAGAUUCAGGAGGAAUAAACCAUUGGGUAUCCGCUUCUUAGAUUACACCUCGCCUAGAUGAAUUUAUUUCUGUUGAGGUGAAGGUCAGAAGCUUAGUUUUUUAUAAUGGACUCACACCUUAGAGGGUGCUAAAGUGGGUCAACCUACUAGAAGACCCACGAGAAGUCAUCUUUAAUUAGUAGAUUCUUUGGAUAAAGCCAAGGAUGGGUAGUUCACCCUUCAAAUUGCAGUCGAUAAAGUAGGCCAUUAAGGUCCACCAAAAUAAGCUGGCGAGUUGCCCCAGUGCAACCCCAUGCUCGUUAAUGACAGGGCAAAAUAAAGGAUUUAAUGGGAGAUGGAACCUAACUUCGAACAGUUAGAGAAGAAUGAGGAUAUGGUUGGAAUGAUAGCUUAAUCGACACUCACCUAGGACAAGACUGAAAUCGUAGGUGAAGGUUGGAAGUUGAAUCCCUCUAACACCUAGGAAAGGGACCAUUUCCCCAUGAUUUAUGGUGCAGUGAAACAGAGGGAUCUCCACUAGGGUACUUACCCCGUGACCACUGGGUCCGACCCCAUCACCUUCCCUGUCACCACUGCGAUUUUUCAUGCUACCACCACUACAAUGGCUAAUACCCUCACGAUGACUCUGUUUAAUUCUUACCAUUUAGGGGGAAGAUGAAAGAAGCAGAAAAGGAUUAGGAAAUUACCUGAUAGACUUGCUGAAAAUUGAUCAGAGAUAAAAGAAAAAGGAACCUAGAUGAAUGAGCAAUAAAGGCUAAGGGGGAAACUAGGGAUUUGGAAGGAAACUUAGUUGGUAAGAAAUUGAAGAGUAAGUUUUGAUGAAAGGCCUCUUUUCCUGAUACCUUGAUUUAAGUUGCCAAACGUCUAAGGGAAGUUUGGAAAAUUUUUAGAAUAAACUAUUUAAAUCCUCGAACCCAUAGAUGACACAUGUUGAGUAGAAGAAAGCUUUUUCUUAAACCCCUCGAUAACCAGAAAAGUGAAAGCGUCCUCCAAAGUUGAUCGUUUAUCAAGUAUUUGUCAUAUGACCCAUUUUAACUCUGAAAGUUAUCUAAUUGUGUUGUGCGAAGAUAUGACUGGCUAAUGGUAUAAGUAAGAAUCCUUCAGAAUUGGUACAAAAUGGUCCUUGUGCCAUAAAAUUCCUUAAGUGUUAGGGUAGAGUUGUCGGUGAGCAAGAUGAGACCUAGACAAAAUUUAGGGCAAUAAAGUAGCAACGUGUCCCCAAGAAAGACGAAAGUAACUGCCCUUAGGUAUGCAAAGAAAUUCCUAAGAUAAGAGAAGAUAGAGUGGACAUUACCAUGGGAAACUUAGGUAAGAAAGGAAAUUUCAAAGAUGAAAUUUUCUUCAAGGGUGGGGGAGUUGUCACACUCGGUUACCAUAAUUGACCCAAAAAUUCAAGAAAGCUAGGAUUAAAUUGAAAAUACUAGCGAAUUAUCAAAAUCUGUUGGGAAAUUAGGAAAAUCCCAGGGACUGAAUUGUGAAUAGUUGGAUUCCAAUUCCAUUUCUAUUAGAUGAGAACCAACUGGUUCCAAAGUUAUAGACAAAAUGAUUAGGAAUGGAUGGUGGGAAGGGGCAGUAAAGACUGUGCCCAAGGUGUAUAAUAUGGGCGAGAGUGGAGACAGAAUUCAAUGAAUUUUGUUUGUAAGUCUUCACCUCCCUCUAGCAUAAUCUUUUUCAGUCGUUCUAAAGAAAAAGGGAAUACAGAUGAAAGAAGCUAUGUAUGUCGUAACAAAGGCAUGAAUCAAAGCCUAGUGGUGGGCAAUUUGAUGAAUUAGUAAGUUUCCUUAUCUUCCUCUCUGUUUAGGAAGUGAGGAAAGAAGUAAAAUAAGACUCACAAAUCUUUUGUAUAAUUUAAGAUUUUGGGUUUCUAAAAAUUUUCCACCAUUGGUUUAACCGCAACAGGGUUGUCAUGCUUAGCCGUCAGGACAAAAGAGGCUCUAGCAUUUGGAUUAGCUAAGCUAUCAAGGAUGAGAAAACAAGGUGAGUGACUCCACUUUGUCAUCUGGUUGUUAUAUGUAAUUAUGAGAAAUUACCAUGUUAAUGCUAAUAGUAAGAGUAGAUGAUUAUUGAAUGAAUAUUUGUCAUAGUACAUUGCUUAAUGAUGUUUUUCAUGGUAUGUAUGAUUAGAGCAUUCAUAAUAUGGAAGGGGUGACUAACUAUGGGUUAGGCGAAGUUAGGAAUGGGAAAAGGGGAUGGAUUUUUUAGAUACCACCAUAUGGUCUUGCUGAGUGCAAACCAUGAUGUGUGAAGCUCCAAGCCUUGAAGAAGGACCAUUGUGGUGUUCGAGCAUGAUGGUAUAGGAUGGUAAAAUGAAGGAAUGAAUGGAAUGAAUGGAAUGAAAUGGGAAAAGUAAAGGUCAUGGCUAGGCCAUGAUCCGGUCAGAGGCUAUACGCCUAAAUUGAGUAAGACCAUAGCUGAAAGAUGUUAUGGCAUCAAGAUAAAGAUGAGUAAGACCAUGGCUGAAAGAUGCUAUGACAUCAUGGUAAACAGGACUAAGACCAUAGCUAAAAGAUGUUAUGCCAUCCUUUGAUAGUCCUUUGGGACAAUAAACACGAGGUUGUAAUGUAUAAGACCCUAGUUGAAAGACGCUACAAUAUCAUAGAUAGUUCGUCGGGGCAAAAAUAAUGGUAUGGUCUGCCGGGACUAUAGAUGUGGGAAAUUGUUUAGAGAGUUUGUAACACCCCUAUCCCAUACCCGUCGCCAGAUUAGGGUUAUGAGGCAUUACCGACUAACAUAUAUCUCAGAUCAACUUCUAUCAUAAAUUAACCAAUAUAAUAUUAAAUCAACUAUCAUGCUUCAAUUUAAUAUUACAUAAGAUUAUAAAAUUAAAAUAAUCAAAUAAUAACAAGAAGGAAACAUACAACAUUUUUUUAAAAAAAAUCUUUUAUAACCUUUGAGCAAUAUAUGUGUACAAUUUUUUAUAAUUAUACAAGCAUCAUACGCAUACCAUAAGCAAGCAACCACGGAUUAUUAUUAUUAUUUUUUACAAAUAAAUAGAUAGUCUAUAAUAGUCUUUAUUAAUCUGUUUAUGACGUUUUCAUAUCAUGAACAAAUAUUCAUAACAAUAGCUCAAACAAAUAACUACUUAAGCAAUCCAUAAUUAUUAUAGUAAUAUAUAUCAUGAAAGAUCGGUACAAAACCAUGUUUACCUUCCAUCUAAUUAACUAACAAAUAUUACCUUUGUCAAAACACAAGUAAAAAUAAACCUAACACAUGAAUAUAUAUUUUUCUUGAAAGCGUAUAUAUGCAUAUUACAAUGUCAUGUUAUAAAUCCAAACAUUAUCCUGGCAACUAUGAAGUCACAAGGCAAGUCAUUUCAUCAUAAGAAAAAAUAGCUAUACAAGCAUGUACCGAAUCUUAAGUUAGCUAAAACCAUUUCAUGCAAACUUAUUUUAUAACCGAAUAUACCUAUAUAUAUAUGAAAUAAUCUUCAAGACUAAUCAUGUAACAAAACAUACCUCACAAGUAUAAGUCUUUGACCACAUUUAAACCUAUACAAAAUAUAAAUCUUUCAUGCCGUAUAACGAACAUACCGAACAACAUAAUUCAUGUUCGAAUAUAACCAAUUAACAUUUAAUGCCAAACCACAUAAUAAAACUUACAUUGAGCAUAACUACCGAAUCCUCUUGGAUAUAUAUUAUCUUAUUAUGAAUCAUGUUUAAACAACCAAAUAUAUCUAGGUUUAUAUAUUACAGCCAACACAUUCAAACUUCAUCCAAGACUUUAACCAACUUAAAUGCACAACCAUGCACGUAUCGCAACAUUACUUUUUAAAGCGUAAAAUGCCAUAACUAAAAUAAACGCAAAACACAGGUAACCAUAACCGAUCCUAGGCAAGAUGGUUAAGCCAUUUUCACAUGGCAUAUAUAUAUAUUCAUUUCCAAAAUAUUUAACCUCAAAACCAGCCUAUACAAGCCAUAAUUUAAGUUUAGUUUAAGGUACCAAAUUUGUAGAUAGUGUGAUGAACUUGGUUGAUAAUCCCCGAGCUUGCAGCUUGACUUCAAAAUCUAUAAAACAGAGUAACGUAAUACACAAAGUAAGCUACCACAGCUUAGUAAGUCAUAAGCAAUAAACAACUCAAUAACACAUUUGAUCCAUGUCAACUAAAUGAAAUGCAUUAACAUUAUUAACCACCUAAGACGAAUACAUAUACUAUCAUUUAAUACAAUAUAAAUCAACUUCCAAACUAGUAGCCAAAAUAACCACACAUCCAUUUACUCUUUUAUGCAACUUAAGAAUCAUCAAAUGUCAUCCCAUGUAUAAAUAAUACCUAGGAAGCCGAAUACACAAAUUAUAUGUACACGUGUUAAGUUACAUUUCAGUACUACACAAAUUGUUCAUUCAUACGCCGAAUACACAUAUCCAAAUACACAUGGAAUCCUCAUUUGCAUUGUACAAGAUUUACAACACAUAACUAUAGUACUUUCUUACCUUAUCUUAAGUAGACAUCAAGUUAACUCAUACUUGAUCAUUUAGCUCGUAAUAUACAAUCCAUACGCAGUUUACCUUUUCCCGAUAAACCAUUAGGAAUUGGUUAGGAAACUCUGAUAAUCACAUAAAUCGUACAAUGCCAACAUCACAGACGUGGUCUUACAUGUAGCCACAAAUCGAUGCCAUUGUCCCAGAUAGGGUCUUACUCGUAAACACAUAUCGAAACCACAAAUCCAUGCCAUGGACUUACUCGCACACACAUAUCGGAAUCCUAUGUCAUGACAUAUGUAUCCUAGCUAUUCCUAAGGUUAAUACAGGGCUUUCGAACGUCGUAACUCAAUCGGAAUGAACUUAGUAACGCAGUAACCAAACCUUUUUAUAUUCAGUUAUAUCAAACAUAAAUUCUAAUAUUUCAUAAAAGCAUGUAUAUUUUAUAUUUAGCUACAAUUAAACACGUCUAUUUGCUUAAAAACUUACCUCGAACGUCGUAAAACAGAACGGGGUUGCUAGUCGACAACUUUCAUUUUUCCCCGAUCCAAAUCUGAUUUCUUUGGUUCUUGAUAUAAACACAUUCAAAUUAAGCUAAUUCAACAUAUUUUCAUUCAAUUUAGUCAAAAAACACAUAAAUAGGAAAAUUACUAUUUUACCCCUGACAUUUACAAUUUUUACAAUGUAGUCCCUAUUGCAUAAAACACAAAAUACACCAAAUUUCUCCACACCCAAGCUAGGCUGAAUAUUACCCAUGUCUAUACAAGCCCAUAUAAUUCUUUAAUUUCACAUUUUAGUCCCUCAAAUUAUUAUUUUUUCAAUUAAGUCCUAAUUACUCAAAAUCAUCAAAAAUUUCAAUACAAAAUAUGUUAAUCUAAAACAUAUCUUUCAUUUUUCAUCAUCAAACAACAAAAAUCACAAGCUAUCAACAAUGGUACAACUCAAAAUAUUCAUCAAAAUCAAAAAUUCAAGCAUGGGUUUUUAAGAUUACUAAGCAACGAUCUCAAAAACGUAGAAAUUAUCAAAAACCGAAAAACAUCUAACCUUGAUUGAGGUUUAAAAGUGCUGAACCCUAGCCUUUGUUUUUUUUUCUAUUUCUUUGUCUUAUUUUCAGUGUAUGAACAAGGAAAAAUUAUAUGAAAUAAACUUAUUUUAUGUUUAUUAUAUGAUAGUUUAUAAUAUAUUAUUUCAUUUCCAAAUUUAACCUUAAUUAUAACAUUAUAUUAUUUCAUUUAAAUGUCCUUAGCCGUCCAACAGUAUAUAUAUUGGGCUAAUUUCAUCAUAACUACUCUCAUUUAGAAAGCCAUCUACAAUUAAUCCCUUUACAAAAUAAACUACCCACUUUUCAAUUUACACGAUUAAGUCCUUUUAUUUAAUCGGACACAUAAACGAUAAAAUUAAAUUACGAAAAUUUCACAGAUAUAAAUUCACACAAAAUAAACACAAAAAAUAAUUUUUAAAUAUUUUUCUAACUCAGAUUCGUGGUCCCAAAACCACCGUUCCAAUUAGGGUCUAAAUAGAGCUUUUACAGAGUUAGACAUGGGAAUCAUAAUUAAAAAAAUCCAUUGUUUACGAAAAAUGUCAAGGGUGAGAGUAGAUAUCGCAUUGUACAUGGAAUGAUAAGUAAUAAGAAGAGAUGAUUUGGUGCGUCUAAGGAACAUAGACCACUGGAUGAAUGAGGAGUGCUGAGGAUGUGUCUCUACACCUGAUAGAGUGAAAAAGGAAACGAAACUCUUUGACUAAGAAGGUAAACAUGGUACCUGUAAAUACUAGCCCGCCAAGAAAACUAUGAAAUUAUCGCAUGAUUUAAAUAGCAGAGAACAAUUUCGUAUUUUGUAAGAUGAUAAAAAAAUUACUUGAAGUAUUUAAUAAGCUUAUUAGAAUUCUCAAAGGAAGAAACAUAUGUUCAAGGCCAAAUGGCUAGCAAAGUCCGUCAAAGAAUAAUGGAUGCGGAGGUUAGAUAUAGCCAUCGGGAAUGGCAGGGAUUUUGUGGAGCUUUCACAAGACAGAACUACAUGUUCUAAGAAGCCUAUAUAAGAGAUAGAUCGACAGUGAAAAGGAAAUCCAGUACUAGUAGUGAACGUUAGUGCUCUAAAGCAACGAGGACCAUAAAAUAAAGGAAAUGCCCACAAACUUUGAAGCUGCUUGGGUAGUUUCCCAACGUUGCUCGCCCAGGAUAGUAAAUGCAAAUACUAGAGAGUUGAAUUUUUGAGUUGGAUGUUUUGCACUUUUCUUAAAUUCUAUAUGUUGGUUAUGGGGUCGUUGAGAGCACCAAAAAUAUCCUACCCCUAUAAAAUGUUGAAAAUAAUAAAAAUAAUAGUAUAAGGGAAAUAGGAUCAAAUCCUCAAGGACUGGAUUUGCACAAUUACUUGUUCCUCGAAAUCUUGGUCAAAAUCGUGCCCAAGAAAACUUGCGUACCCGGAAAAGAAAAAAAAUUAAAAGUUUUGAUCUAGAAAAAUUAAAUAAAAAUAGAAUUAAAAGGUUUUAUUGGAAUUUCAAAAAAUAAAAAUAAUAGAAAUAAAUAAAGUUGAGGAAAAGGUGUUCUUAUAGAGAGGUUCCAGCCUUCGGUUCUCUCGAUCCGCCUUGGGUUCAAUCCUUGGCUUUUAGGAGAUCCUUCUUAAAUAGAAUAAGCCAGUUAUAGUGGAAGAGGACGCCUAUGAUCACCAGCUCCAAGAAUUUAGACUUACAAUUUAGAAGAACCUAACUUUAGCCAACAAUCGUUUCUGUGGGAUCAUCUUAUGCUAGAUCAUCACUUCUCAAUAGCUAAUCUCAAGCCAUUUUAUCUCUUGGGCUGGCCAACCUCUGGCGCAGUAAGCUAACAAACCGACUGUGUAACCUUCUCAAAACAUACAAAGCGGUCGCCUUUGCACACAUUGAAAAGAUCACUUUUUAUGGGACAUGAACAGAAGCGUCAGCCCCGUAAUGCAGAGAAACGAUGAAUAUUCGUCGAGAAAGAUAAGUACGGAUUCUAUGCCUCAAGAACCCUUUUUUGGCGAAUUUUGACAACCUUCGGCUAGAUAGAUUUAGUGGCUCAUGAUUUUUAGGGAAAAACAAAUAAAUAUAAUGGAAAUAGAAUUUUUAUUAAAAUAUAAAAAGAACAAAAAUGGCUAAACUUUAUGGAGAGAAAGUGUUUACAGAAAAACAUCUAUCCAAUUUGUGUCAUUCCAUCCCCUAUUUAUAGUACCAAGAAACCUAGCAUAUUCCUAAUUAAAUUCUAUAAGAUAAAUACAAAUAAUUAAAGAUAAUUAAAAAUAAAUGAAAAUAAAUCCUAAAAUUAAAUCUAAAUAAUAAUCCUUAAUAAUUAUCCUAAUAUAAUUACACAUUAAAUAAAGUCUUGUGCUUAAAAUCUCUUCUUUUGCACUUUUGCCCUUAUGUCUUCCAUACUUGCAUUUUUGGCACCACCUUUUUCCCUAUGUCACAUGUUGGCCCAUUUUAUCUUUAAAUUUGCACUUUUUUCUUUAAAUUUUCUUUUGCCACCAAUUCAGUCCCUGAAAGAUAAAAGACCAUAAAUAGCUCAAAUUAGUAGGGUCAUACUCAAAAUAAACAUACAAUUAGCACAUAAAAUAUGAUGUUCUAAAGUAUUAUGAAAUUCCCCCUACUUAGCCCAUGCUUGCCCUCAAGUAUGGUUCCUAUCCACUGUGAAAUUUAGAAAUUGUCAUGAAAGAAGUACUACUCCAAAGUUUUAUAAAAAUUAGUCAAAAUGCAUAUGAAAAAUAAAGAGAACCCUUAGCUUGUUUUAAGUAAAAUUGAAAAUGUAUUCCAAUUAACACACAAAAAAUAAGAUCGACUUGGAUUAGUUCAUGAAAAUUAAGUAAUUUACCAAACUUACCAAGACACCCUAUUUUUUUCUACCUUUAGUCCUCAAAUUUUAUUAACACGCCUUUUUUUUAGUUAUUUAUUUAUUUAGUUUUGCUUAAGAAUAUAUUAAACCUUUUGACGUGAAGAGAGAUGACAGCCAAGCACCUCACCCUGGUUACUCAACCCAAUACACUCCUAAUUUUUAUUUUUCUUAAGAACAUAUCGAACCUUUUGACGCGAAGAGAGAUGACAACCCAAGCACCCUACCCCGGUUACUCAGCUAGUCACGUCUUAAACUGUACCCAUAACCAUGAAAACAUUAUUAUUAUUAAACAAAAUUUUAAUUUUGGAGGACUUAGAAGCAACAAUUAAGUGUCAAAAAUAGUUUCAGCAACCACUUUAAUAGUCAUGAACAUAUUUUAAGCAUGCAAUUGUAUUAAGUGUCCUCUUUUCAUUUAGACUUAAUCAAUUAUACUAUAAGCAAGAUAGGGUUGACUUUAUCGAUCAUAAUUAUUUAUCCUAAAAGAAAUAAAACAAUGAAGAUGAAAUCAAAUAGGCAAAAUCAUAACUAACUCAGUAGACAAAAAGCAUACAUGUGGGUCAAACAGUGGGUAAGUCGUGAUCAAAUUCUUGGGCAUGAAAAGAGGUAGAAUAUUCUUAAAAAAAAUUAUAUGGGCAGCAACAACCAAAGCGGCAGCAACAACAACAAAAACAGCAUCUAAAAUGACAGAAAUAAUGAGAAAUGCCUCCCCCUACUUAAAACACAUAGUCCUCGAUGUGGAAUAAAUAAAUAUAUAGGCGGAAGAAAAGUUUAGAAGAACUCUCCAUGUAAUUACUGUCGUUCGCGCAUAAUGGCAAUGAGUUGAGCUAGCUGCUGGCCAAAAGUGCUAAGUCGAGCCUCGAUGCGCACUAAGCAUUGCUUAACAGUCAUCGAAGGUUGGGUUGGAGUGGGUACUUCGUUCUGAUUUUAUUGUCGAAAGACUCAUUCAACCGGUGCGAAGUGAAUGCCUGAAGGGACAAAAUGGAAGGAAGAUGGAGUGCUAAGAAGUAGUCCCAUCGAGUCGAGGCAUCGAGCAUCCAAAGGAUCAGCCUGACAAGCAACAUGCAAAUCUGAAAUAGGAGCAUUAGAACCAUGUAGAGAAAAUAACUGUUGUGUAAUAAAUAAGCCUAAAAUUAGAGGACGUUUUGCAUUUAUAACAUAUUUGAAUUGAAACGCAUACCAAUAAGCCAAAUUUAUCGGACGACCGGUAUACAUAUACCAUAAUAAGAAUAAUUCUGUCUUCGACACGGUAGCCAGAGCAUAUCGACGGCCUAAAAAUUUGUAAGCCAAAUAACGGUGUAUGUAACAUAAGGCGGGGUUACGAAGCCAUAAAUCCUUUAAUGUUUUUGGGCUAUACAUGGAUUCGGCACUAUCAGUUAACAAAGCGAAGGCCUCGAAAGCCUUAAAAUCUACAAGAAAAGUACAUAGGCUAUUUUUAUAAUUAGUGGACAUAGUAUAGUCCUCAGUCAUAAAAAAACAAUGCAAUAUUGAAAUCCAUGAGGGAUAAACUAUGCAUGGUACCAAGUAACCAAAAUUUGACAACACUAGGUGUAUCCAAUGAUAUUUGACCGUGUCGCUAAAAACGGAAGGUUAGAAUAAAACUCUAAAACUAGUUGCAAGAUGUACAGCAUCCAAAACAGGUAAUGACAAACAUUUGCAGGGAAGUAUCUAUUUUUGUCCAAGUCGGUCAUACCUUUCCCGAUCGGUGGCAGAAGUAAAUGUCAGAUUACUGUGCAAUUAGCAUUCUAGUGGAAGGAUAUUGACGCGCGAUUGAUAGGUGCAGCCACUAGUAGGUAAUGGGCAUUGGUCGUCGUGACUCUCAGAGGGACCGUUGUACAUGUGCUGUUCGGCACUGUCGAAGUUGGAGUCGAUGGAGGAACCGACGACCGAAGAUGUUGGUUGGGUCGAAGGGCGUGGUGGCUGACGCCGAGAUUAGUAGCGCGACAGCUCAGGCGUCGAACAUAGCGGCUGUGGUGAUGGGGGAAGGUGAAGAAUAAGGCCGCGUGAAAGGGAAGAAAAAGCGACGAAAGAAUGGCGUUGAGGAGAAGAGAGGGUGGGUACGUUACCAGUGAGCGGAGGAGUGGGAGAGUGCGUCGAUGUUACGAGAAGCGGAGAAGAAAAAGGGGAAAAGAGGAUGGCAUGCCGUGCGGGUUAAGUGGAGAAGAGGAAGAGGAGGUUAAAGGCGUAGAAGAGGAGGAAGGGGAGGGAGUUUCGUGUGGCGGAAAAGAGGAGGGAAAGGGUGUGUUGUCGGCCAAAUCGAUGUGUCAGGGUGCCAAAAAUCGACGCUGAUGGCUGUUGACGGUAAAGGAAGGUUCAGCGACGGCUCAGCUUCAGGUUCUCACCAUGGUGGUUGGAGAUCAGCAAUAGAGGGGGUGGGGAAGGGUUUCAGCAGCUGAUGGAAUUUUUGGGAAAAAAUAGGUUGAAAUUUUUAGGUUUUGGGGUUUUAUUCGGCUGAAUGGGUGUGUUUGGCUGUAGGUUUUGGAUAGUCUAGGGUAAGAACACGCUAUUCCUGGCUAGAAUAGGAAUGGAAUAAAGGUUGUUUGGCUGCAGGUUUUGGAUAGUUUAUGGUAGGAACGUGCUAUUCUUGGCUGGAAUAAGGAUGGAAUGAGGGCUGUUUGGCUGCAAGUUUUUUGUUUCCCUAUUUUUUUUUCUCCCUAUUGUUGCUUCGGUUUACCUAGACAGAAGAAGAAAAUUUUAUCAACAUCCAAAAAUAAAAUAAAGUAAAAUUAAAUUAAAUUAAAUUAAUUAAAAUUAAUAAAUAAAAGUAAAAAUAAAAAUUGGGUUGCCUCCCAACAAGCGCUUAUUUAACGUCGUUAUCUCGAUGUCGUGAAAGGUUCUAUGGUGGUUCUAGAUGAAUCUUUUCAACCAUGUGGGCUUGAAAAUUCUCGUAAAAUGGCUUCAAUCGUUGGCCAUUAACUAUGAACCAUUUUCCUGAUUCUUCACAUUCUAUUUCAACCGUACCAUGUGUAAAUACUUUGGUCAUAAUAAAAGGUCCUUGCCGUCGAGAUCGAAGCUUACCUGGGAAUAGCUUUAAUACGGAGUUAUAAAGCAAAACCUUUUGUCCUACCGAAAAAUGCUUCUAAACUAUUUUCUUAUCAUGAAACAGCUUUGUCUUGUCCUUAUAAAUGUGAGCAUUCUCGUAGGCAUCAUUACGAAUUUCCUCCAAUUCUUGAAUAUCUAAUUUCCUCGCCUUCCCUGUGGGUUCUAACUCCAUGUUACAUUGUCGAACAUCUCAAUAAGCUUUAUGUUCCAAUUCAACCAGAAGAUGGUAAGCUUUUCCAAAAAUAAGCUGAUAUGGGGUCAUGCUAAUUGGUCCUUUAUACGUCAUUCGAUAGGCCCAAAGUGCAUCAUUAAGCCGAAAACUCCAAUCCUUUCGGUUGGGUUGAACUAUUUUCUCUAAAAUAGACUUAAUCUCUCUAUUCGAAACCUCUCCUAGGCCAUUCGUUUGGGGAUGGUAGGCUAUGGCUAUACGAUGAUAAACUCCGUAUUUUGACAAUAGUGCCUCUAUGACUUUGUUGCAAAAAUGGGUGUCAUGAUCACUGAUCAGAGCUUGAGGUGUGCCAAACCUAAAAGAAGUUGUUUGUUUAAGAAACUCCACAACAGUUUUAGCAUUGUCAUUACGAGUAGGCUUUGCUUUUAUCCAUUUAGAAACAUAGUCUACUGCAAGAAUUAUAUAUACAUUUCUAAAUGAGGAAAUAAAUGGGCCCAUGAAAUCAAUGUCCUAUACAUCAAAAAUCUCACAUACAUGAAUGGGGAUAGGGGCAUUUGAUUUCGUUUAGUGAUGUUACCUGUAUGUUGGCUAAAAUAGCCCACACUCUAAUAUCUUGUGAGCAGUCUGUUUAGGGCCAAAGUGACCUCCGUAAGCUUCUAUAUUAAAAAAAGUAAGGAUAGAGGUUACCUCGGUUUCUGGAACACAUCGUCUUAUUAUCUGAUUUGAACAGUGUUUCCACAAGUAUGGGUCGUCCCAAAUGUAAUAUCGAGCUUUCCAUAUAAGUUUGUCCUUCAAGGAACGUGCUAACUCAGUGGGUAGCGAACCUGUGGUAGGAGAUUUACUAUAUCCGCAUACCAUGGGUAAUCAGCCUCGAAAAAAAUAAGCUCUCAUCAGGGAACUCACCCUUUAUAGGGGUGUCAUCAUCAGGUAUUUUUAACCUACUCAAGUGGUCGGCUACCAAGUUUUCGCAUCCCUUUUUGUCACGAAUCUCUAUGUUAAAUUCUUGGAGUAGCAAAAUCCAUCUAAUGAGCCUUGGCUUUGAUUCCUUCUUCGAGAUUAAGUACCUGUGAGCUGUAUGAUCAGAAAAAAUAAUCACCUUAGAUCCCAAUAAAUAUGACCGAAAUUUAUCCAAAGCAAAUACAACAACUAAGAGUUCUUUUUCUGUGGUGGUGUAGUUGUUUUGUGCAGCAUCUAGGGUUUUUAAGACAUAGCAAAUGACAUGAGGCUCUUUGUCUAUCUUUUGCCCUAAUACGGCCUCCACACUACGUUCGCUUGCAUCGCACAUAAUUUCAAAGAGGUAGUUCCAAUCUGGUGCUUGUACUAUAGGAGUGGACACCAACUUCUGCUUGAGUGUAUCAAAUGCCUCUUUGCAUUUUGGGCCGAACUCGAAUUUCUUAUCUUUCUGCAAUAACUCGCACAACGGUUCAGCUACUUUGGAAAAGUUCUUUAUAAAAAUCUUUUAAAAUCCUGCAUGGCUAAGGAAAGAAUGUAUCUCCCUUACAGUAGAGGGAUAUGGCUAAGAAUUUAUAAUGUCAGUUUUGGCCUUAUCGACCUCAAUUCCCUUAGCUAAAACUAUAUGACCUAGAAUCAAACAUUUGUCUACCAUAAAAUGACACUUUUCAUAAUUCAAGACAAGAUUAAAUUCUAUGCACCUAUUUAAAAUAAUCGUGAGGUUUUUAAGGUAUUCGUUAAAACAAUUUUCAUACACAGUAAAAUCAUCCAUAAAAACUUCGAUAAUUUUUUCCACAUAUUCAAAAAAUAUACUCAUCAUGCAUCUCUGGAAAGUGGCCGGCACAUUGCAAAGUCCAAAUGACAUCUUUCUGUACACAAAUGUGCCGAAUAGGCACAUAAAAGUGUUCUUUUCCUGGUCCUCUGGUGCGACUGGAAUUUGGAAGAAACAUGAGUAACCAUCAAGAGAAAAAAAGUGAGUUUUACCAGCUAAUCGCUCAAGAAUUUGAUCUAUAAAAAGAAGAGGGAAGUAAUCUUUUCUAAUGUAAAAAUUCAACUUCCUAUCAUCAAUACAGACACGCCACCCAUUCUGCACUCGAGUUGGUAACAAGUCACCUUCAGCAUUUUUCUUUACUGUCAAGCCCGUUUUCUUAGGCAUGACUUGUAUCGGACUUACCCAUCUGCUAUCUGAAAUAGGGUAGAUUAUGUCAGCAUCCAGCAGCUUCAUUAUCUCCUUUUUUACUACCUCCAUCAUAUUCAGGUUCAACCGUCUUUGCACCUCUCUUCUUAGUUUAGUGUUUUCCUCCAAGUAGAUUCUGUUUGUGCAUGUCAAAGGGCUUAUCCCUUUUAAAUCGGAAAUAGUCCAGCAAAUCGUCUUUUUAUGAUUUUGUAGUACCCAGAUCAAACUUUCUUCUUUGAGCUUAGAGAGUUUACUUGAAACUAUAAUCUAUAGGGUAUUACCUUUCCCCAAAAAUGCAUACUUAAGAUGUUUGGGAAGCGGCUUUAAUUCAAAAUCUGGAGCCUGCACAACAUAAGGUAAAAGUUUAGUGUUUGAUGGAGACAAUAACUCAUUAACAGAUUCAUAAUCAUCAAUUAUAAAUUCAGAUUUAUCUUUAUAAAUAGACUCAAAAGUCUCCUCUACUAAAGAGUCAAUUAUGUCGACACAGUUUACACUCAAUAUUUUGCUUGGAUGACUAAUAGCAUUGUAGACAUUGAACUUCAUGACCUCCCUAUCAAUUUCCAUCAUAAGAGUUCUACUUCGCACAUCAAUUUGGUGCUAGCGGUACUAAGGAAAGGUCGACCCAACAAGAGGUUUGAAGAUCCAAGAGUGCUAUCCUCCUCUAUUUUUAUCACAUAAAAAUCUACAGGGAAAAUAAGUUCGUUAACUUUUACCAAUACGUCCUCGAGGACUCCUUUGGGAUACACAAUGGACCUGUCUGCCAACUGAAUGAUAACACUUGUUUUUGUUAAAAAAAACACGCGUUAAGUAAUUCAUAUAUAAAAAAGGCAUUACAUUUAUUGAGGCCCUUAAAUCACACAUAGCCUUCUUAAUUCCCAAAUGGUCUAUCUUGCAUGGUAUUGCAAACAUGCCCCUACCUUUACAUUUUGCUGGCAUCUUCCGCUGUAACACUGCAGAUACAUUUUCACCAACACUUACCUUUUCAUUACCUGUUAAUUUUCAUUUGUUGAUGCAGAGUUCUUUAAGGAACUUGGCAUACUGCGGAAUUUGUCUGAUGGCAUCCAACAGUGGUAUAUUGAUCUCGACAUUUCUGAAUGUUUCGAGGAUGUCUUUGUCUUCUUUGUCCUUUCAACAUUGAUUUAAUCGUCCUAGAAAUGGAGGUUGAAUUUUUGGAAAUAGGGGUUUUGGUUGAACCUGUUCGUCAUUUUCGUGAUUUUUUUGGGCGAUUUCUUAGCUAAGAUUCCUGCCAGAAUUGGUUCCAGUACCUUUCCACUUUGUAGUGUCACUACAUUCGCGUUUUGUCUCGGGUUCAGUUCUGUUUUUGACGGUAGUUUCCCUUGAGAAAUUAUUUUCUCAAUUGAUAUGGUCAAUUCUCUUAUAGACACCUCUGUUUUUUGUUGAAAAUCAAGCAUAUUAACUGCUAAUUUAUUGACCAAAGUUUCCAGAGAAUUACCUGAAUCUCAUGGCUGUUGUGGAACCCGAUUUUGGUAUGGCUGGUUAUAUCGUGGAUUGGGCCCAUAACUUAAGUUAGGGUGGUCCCUCCAUCCUGGGUUGUAGGUGUUAGCGUAAAGGUUGUAUCACCUUUGUGGUGGCCCAAGGAAAUUUCCCACAGCAUUUAAAUGAGCCAUAGUAUCAUCAUACAAACUGGGACAUGCAUCAGUUGUAUGCACAUAUUCUGCAUACUCGGGCUGGUUUGGCUUUUUCUGUAAUAAGAGAACUCACAAUAUCAGUAAGUCUAUCAACUUUAUCUUCUAAGGUUGAAUUACUUAGCUGGUGAACCCUUCUAAGGGGUUCAGGAUUGGCUCAGAAUUACUAAGUAUUUGCAGCCAUCGUGGAGAUCAAGUCUCUUGCUUGUUGGGGAGUCAUGUUGACCGAUGCUCCUCCACUAGUAGCGUCUACCAUAUUGAUCUUUAUGGGUUUCAAGCCAUCAUAAAAAUAUUGGAGAAGAGAUUCUUCUGUAAUACCGUGUUGUGGACAGCUUGCACACAGCUUCUUAAAUCGCUCCCAAUAGUCGUAAAGAGACUCUGCUUCUUUUUUCCUUAUUCCAACGAUCUCUCUUCUUAACUCAACUGUACGUGAUGCUGGAAAAAAGCUGUUGAGAAAUAAAUGAGAAUGAUCAGCCCAAGUUGUAAUAGAUCCAGGAGGCAAGUAAAAUAGCCACUCCCUAGCUGAAUCUGCUAGGGAAAAAUGGAAGCACGCAGUUUAAUUUGCUCCUCAGUUACCCCCUGAGCUUUCAUGCUAAGACAAACCAUAUGAAACUCUUUCAGAUAUUUGUGGGGAUUUUCGUUUUGCAACCCACGAAAAGUUGGCAGAAGUUGGAUUAAACCUGAAUUUAAUUCAAAAUCAGUUUCCAUAGUAGGAUAUGCGAUGCAUAAUGGCAAUUCUUCUACUGGAGCUUCGGCUAGUUGCCGAAUUGUUUGAGUCAUUGGUUGAUGUGCUAGAUUUGGGUUUUCAUUAACCCUAGUGUUAAGCACUUCUUCUGGGGAAUUGAAUUCUACUUUUUCACUUUCAAAUAUUUGAAUAGGGUUUUCGUUAACUCUAGACUCUACUUCGUCAUCGAUUUCGAUUUCUGGUGGUGGGUUACUCUGAGUCUCAACCAUUCCUGACUGCUUUUUGCGUAACUUUGUUUCCUUGUGAUGGCUCUUGCAGUCUUCUCUAUCUCUGAAUCAAACUCAAGAGUACCUGGAGCAGAUCUGGUUAUAAGAAACAAAGAACAAGAUCAGUACAUUACCGAUCCCCAACAACGGCACCAAAAUUUGAUGCGGUUGUUGAAAGCACCGAAAAUAUCCUAUCCCUAUAAAAUGUUGAAAAUAAUAAAAAUAAUAGUAUAAGGGAAGUAAGGUCAAAUCCUCAGGGACCAGAUUUGCACAAUUACUUGUUCUUCGAAAUCCUGGUCAGAAUCGUGCCCAAGAAAACCUACGUAGCUGGAAAAGAAAAAAAUAGAAUUAAAAGUUUUGAUCUGGAAAAAUUAAAUAAAAAUAGAAUUAAAAUUUUUUAUUGGAAUUUUGAAAAUUAAAAAUAAUAUAAAUAAAUAAAGUUGAGGAAAAUGUGUUCUUAUAGAGAGGUUCCAGCCUCCGGUUGUCUCAAUUUGCCUUGGGUUCAAUCCUCGACUUUUAGGUUAUCUUUCUCAAAUAGAAUAAGCUAGUUAUAGUGGAAGAGGAUGCCUACAACCACCAGCUCCAAGAAUUUAGACUUACAAUUUAGCGGAACUUGACUCUAGCCAACAAUCGCUUCUGUGGGAUCAUCUUAUGCUAGAUCAUCACUUCUCAAUGGUGAAUCCCACGCCAUUUUGUCUCUUGGGAACCUCUGACGCAAUAAGCUAACAAACCGACUGUGUAACCUUCUCAAAACAUACAAAGCGACCGCCUUUGCACACAUUGAAAAGGUUACUUUUUAAGGGACAUGGACAGAAGCGGCAGCCCUACAAUACAGAGAAACGAUGAAUAUUCAUCGAGAAGGCUAAGUACAGAUUCUAAGCCUCAAGAACCCUUUUUUGGGGAAUUUGGACAACCUUCGGCUAGAUAGAUUUAGUGGCUCAUGAUUUUUGGGGAAAAACAAAUAAAUAUAAUAGAAAUGGAAUUUUUAUUGAAAUAUGAAACGAACAAAAAAGGUUAAACUUUAUGGAGAGAGUUUUUACAGAAAAAGAUCUGGCCAAUUUGUGUCACUUCAUCCCCUAUUUAUAGUACUAAGAAACCUAGCCUAUUCUUAAUUAAAUUCUAUAAGAUAAAUACAAAUAAUUAAAGAUAAUUAAAGAUAAAUGAAAAUAAAUCCUAAAAUUAAAUCUAAAUAAUGAUCCUUAAUAAUUAUCCUAAUAUAAUUAAACAUUAAAUAGAGUCUUGUGCUAUAAAAUCUCUUCUUUUGCACUUUUGCCCUUAUGUCUUCCAUUCUUGCAUUUUUGGCACCACCUUUUUCCCUAUGUCGCAUGUUGGCCCAUUUUAUCUUCAAAUUUGCAAUUUUUGCCUUGAAAUUUCCUUUUGCCUCCAAUUCAGUCCCUGAAAGAUAAAAGACCAUAAAUAGCUCAAAUUAGUAGGGUCAUACUCAAAAUAAACAUGCAAUUAAAAUAUGUCGUUCUAGAGUAUUAUCAGUUGGUGUCACUAAGUUCUUUCGAACUUAUAAGUUUUCUGCUCAAAUCUAGGCUAGUUAAAGAUUUAGACAUUGCGAGUGACCAAGCCAAACUUUGCUAGGAGUGAGGCGAAAUACAGAAUGUUGUAUGUGUACAGAAGGACACCCGUAGAGGCUCCGCUUCGGGGGCUUAGAGGUCGUUUUAUGUUUUCGAUUCUUGGUCCAAAAACUUUGUAAUUUAGUAAUGAAAAUGAAACUCUAAAGUUUUAUCAUUAGUCAAUAUAAAUUGAUUAAGUAAUUUAAUUUCAGAAAAGAAAUUCCGUUAAGAAAUUUGGGUUAUUGUGGCAUCUGAUACCCAGACUCAAUGAACAGGUCAGUCAACGGGUGUUACAUGAUGUAAAUGAGGUUUUUUUUUUAAGUGAUUUGUAACAAUUAGGGUUGGUGUUGCGGAUGCAAUUAUUUUUUUGUGUAAGGGUAGAUUGAGCUUAAACCAAAAGGUGAUCUGGAAGAUUGUUGAAUAAGAUUCAUUCACUAAGUCAGGUUCUACAACAUAUGAUUGUUUCCAAACCGCAUUAAUAAAUGACUAUGUAUGAAUCUCUCCUUAUUUUUUCUGUUUUUGUUUUUGUUUCGUUGACUAAUUAAUCUUGUGACUAAUCAUGUAUUUGGACAGUUAGGUUAAACUUAUAGUAAAUUGACAUAAUUUUCAAGUGGUAUUAGAGCUUGACUUCAAACAUACUUGAAGGUGAUCCUAUGUUCGGCUUGUAGCAAUGAAGUCUAAGAAUAAAAGUCAUUUUAUCACACAUCCACCUUCGGUGAUUAAUUUAUCAAAUCCAAGCAAUGACAAUGAUGUUCCAUUUAAUAUAGGGGAUACAUUUAGUUAGAUUGAUAAAUAAGAUGGAAGUGAUGUUGCAAAUGAAUAAAUCUUUGAAGAAAGAAGUUGUAAUCCACAAAAGAGAAAAAGAACAGCUCAAAAUAGUGGUCAAAGUGAAAGAUUAUGUAACUGUUGCUCUCAAAAAUGCUAAUGAGAUGCUUAAUGAAUCUUCCAAUGAAAAGGAUAAGAUGAUUGCUAAAGCUUGUGCAACUUUGAAAGCAAAAAAGUAAGAGUUAUAUAAUGUUAAAGCUAUUCUAAAAAAAUAUGAAAAGCAAAGUGAUGAUAUCUUAGCUAUUGGGAGAUUCAAACCUAGUCAUGAUUAACUUGAUAAGAAACUUAUAUCUCAUAUGAUUUUUGUAAAAUGUAAAGAGAUAAUUAUUUCUUCUUCUUUUAAGACAAGUAAAAUAGAUAAUAAAAGACAUGUUUUCUACCAUUGUGGAAAGUCUAGCCCAACUUCCUUUUCGAUGACCAAUUUAGCAGAUCCCAAUUUCAGCUAGCCUGCGUUAGCCUUAGGCCUGCCUCCUUCUGUCGACCCAUAAGGCCCUUGCCUUUUGUUACUAUGUUACCUCCGCCCUCCUUAUGUUGUUUUAGGCCCAUGAAAGAUGGGUCAACUUCCUUUUUUGGGCCAAUGCUACUUGUAACACCCCUUACCCUUAUUCGACACCGAAACAGGGUACGAGGUGUUACCAGACAUAAACUCACACAACCAUAAAAAACUGAGACAUGAAUUUCCGUCCAAAUUUAAAAAUUUUCAUUCACAUGUAUAUCAUCCCUUAUAUAGGUCCACGAGACCCAAAUCAUACAUUGGGUGUGGUUCGAGACUAAACUGAGAACUUUGGAAACACUUGGAAGACUUAGAAAAAUUUCCAUGAAAACAGGGUUACACGCCAGUGUGGGUAGGCCGUAUGGUCACACAUGCCCGUGUGGCUUGGGACACGCCCGUGUCCUCAGCCCGUGUAACUCUCUGUUUAUGAUGUCAUCAACUAAAAUAGGGUCACACGGCCAAGUCACACGUGUCCUUUACAUGGCUGAGACACACGGCCGUGUCUCUGCCCGUGUGUUUACUACUUAGCAUUCUGUUUUACCUAAUUACGGUGCAGGGGACACACGGCCAGAACACACACCUAUGGGGCAGAUCGUGUGUCACACACGGCCUAGACACAUGCCCGUGUGUCUAACCGUGUGGACAACUUUAAGGCUAUUUUCAAAGCCUUUUGCCACCCUUAGACACUCACAUGCUUAGACAUAUUUCAUGGCACACAACAUGUCACAUUUUGACAAUCAAACAUACCUAAUCAAGACUAAUUCAUGUCCAUGUAAUGUCACUAUUUCACAUACUCAAAUUAACUUAAGGCAUUCCACACCAAUUUCAUAUCCAAUCAACAUUAUUAACCUACUCUCAAUUCACACAUUUAAACCAUGAUCAUAGCCAUACCAAUUUUGUCAUCAUUCAUUCAUAAUACCCAUAUGACAUAUAACACAAUCCAUCAUCAUCAAGACUUUGACACAUGCAUGCAUAAUUAAUUAGGUUUACAGCCCAAUAAUCAAUAUGAACCAUAUCUCAUGGCCAUAUACAAAAUGAAUCACCAAAUCAUUAUAAGCCAACACACUUGGCCAAAUUAAUAAUGACAUAAUUAAUCAAAAUUCAAAGUCCCUAUACAUGCCAUAAACUUAAAAUUGCGUUCACUUGUACCUAAAUAAUAGCUUGAUAGUGUGAUGGUAUCUUCGGUAGUCUCCAACCCGAGCUAUCUAAAUUAACCUAUAAGAGAUGGGAAAGGAAGGGGGUAAGCUUCAAAACUUAGUAAUUUCAUAUGCAAAUAAUAAACAACAAUUAAUAUUCAUCUACUUUAUCCAUCCAUGAGAAUACUAUUAUUACAAUUAAAUCUUAAGAUUUCCACUUAUUCGUUCGUAGUGCUUACUCUUUUAACUCAUAAACACCAUUUACAUGCCUUGGCAUUAGCCUAGCCACUAUAGUCUCCCCAUUAUAACAUAUCACAUUAAUUAACAAGUUAUUUUCAUCCUCUUAAUCACAUGCACAUUAUUUAUGAGUAAUCAUAAUUUCAACAUAUAGUUCAACCACCUUUCACUUGUCUAAGCUUGUAUCUUACUAUACUCUUAUAAUGACUUUAUUCGGCAAUUAUGCAUGUCUUUCCUUUCCUCAUAUCCAAUGAAACACAAUUUAAAUAAAUGAAAUGUACUAUAUCACAAAUCAAUUAGGCUCAUAAGCCUAUCACAUGAUCAUUAUCAAAUCUUAUCAUGCAUCCAUUCAUUAAUAAUGUAGAUCAUUUGCCAUAAGGUUAUCAAUGUUUCACAUGCAUAACUUGUUCGUGUACAUUCUUACCACAUAUUCAUCAUAUACCAAAUUCACUUUUCAUGAGUUCUGUGUACAUACUAGUACCGCUCGCGAUAUAGUCACAUACUUUCACGUUCUUAACAUACUCAUUGAAAUACAAUUUAAGCAUAUAAACAUAUUGGAUCACAUUUCAAUUCGGCCCAAAAGCCUAACACAUAAUCAUCAUUUAAAUUUAUCAUAUAUCCCACAUCACAAGUAUGUACACUAUCAAUCACAAUGAACAGUAAACAAUUAUUUCCACAAUAAUCAUGAAUUUACAAUUAUAGGCUUACGUACAUGACUGUUCACUCGUAGUAAUUUCAUUCACAUGCUCAUCUUAGAUUUACCUGUUGAACACUCGGAAUACCAUUGGAUACAUGGAAGGCUCACACAUAAGUGCCACAUACGUAGCUAAAGCUACCUCAUAUCACAUAACACAUAAAAGCUCAUUCUCGAGCUACUCACGGGUCUGCUCACACAAGCUGUCGGUCAGGACAUAGCUACACGGGCUGCUCACACAAGCUGUCAGGUAUCCGCAACACAUGUUAGACUACCUAGCCACCGGUAGGACGUACAAGACCAGCACCUGGAACCACAUAAACAUAUAUCACAUAUCUCAUGAGCUCAUAAAUCACAUGAUUCUUAGUGACAUGUCACUUGUAUCCUAAACUAUUCCUAAGGUUCAAAAGGGUUUUUUUUCACUUAUCCAAACUUCGUCAAACACAACCAUAGAAUCAUUUAUUUCAUGCAUUAUCAAAACAUUUAAAAUAGUUAAAAUACAAACAUAGCAUAACAUUAUUUACAUACGAACUUACCUCGACACCAAAAUGGCAAAAACGGACCUAACCGUUAAUUUUUUGUUUUUCCCCCGUUCUAGGUCCGAACCUCGUUUUCUUUGAUCUAUAACAUCACAUUUAGCCCACUUAUUAGUCACAAUAUUCAAUGUGACCUAAAAAUCAUACUAUAAAAAAUUGUAUUUUUGCCCCUAAACUUUGUCAUAUUUACACUUUUACCCCUAGGCUCGUAAAAUGAUUUUUAUUCAAUUUCUUUAACAAACAAGCCUAGCCGAACCAUUUUCAUAACUAUAAAAUCCCAAAAUUUCUAUUAAAACUCACUUUUACUACAUAUUUUAUAAUUUUUACAAUUUAGUCAUUUUGGACGUUUUCACUGAAAAUCACUUAGUAAAAGUCAUUUCUUACACAUCAAACUUUCAUAAUCUAUCAUGAAACAUCAAAACACAUGCAUGUCACACAUGGAUAAAUUUUUAAACAUCAACCCUAACCCAAAUAAAUGGUAGAAAUAUAUAGAUCUUGCUACGAGGAUUUUAAAAACAUAAAAAUCAUUAAAAACGGGGUUAGAACGGACUUACAAUCAAGCUUGCAAGCUUGAAAAACCCUAGUCAUGGUUUCUCCAUGCAAGUUGCGGCCAAGGGGUUGAAGGUGGACAAAAAUUGACUUUUAAUUUUGUUUUUAAUUCAUUUUAAUAACUAUAUAACCAAAAUGCCCUUAAUGAAAAACUUUGGAAACAUGUCUAACCAUGUCCAUUUUUGUCCACCAACUUAACCAAUGGUCUAAUUACAUAUAAGGAUCUCCAAUUUAAAAUUUCAUAACAAUUGGACACCUCCAACAUGUACAACUCAACUUUUGUACUUUUUACAAUUUAGUCCUAUUGACUAAAUUGAGUGCCCAAACGUCAAAAUUUUUUAACGAGAUUUUCAUGAAAUCAUUUUGUGAAAUUCUAGACCAUAAAAACAUAAUAAAAAUAAAUUUUCUUACGUCAGAUUUGUGGUCUCGAAACCACUGUUUCGACUAGGACCAAAAUUGGGCUGUUACACUACAGGCUUGUUCACCUUGUAGCCUGGUUUAGCCUUCAACCUAGAAUGCUCUUCUUGGUCACCCUCUCCUACUACUAGGGUUUCUAGUGCAUGGUAACCUAUGUUGCUUGGUGUCCUCAUAACCUUGCCGUCGUUCCCCUUCACUGCCCUCAACAAUUGUCAACCUUUCUUUUCCACUAACAUCCAAGGGCCAUAAGUGCUCGAUUUUGCCACCAAUUCAUCUAUAUUUGAGUCUGGUUUUGGUCUUUGCUCACUCUUUCCAAUCGCAUCCCCUUCCCCCUAAUUCCUUUUGGCCAUUAACUUCCUUAAGGAAAAGCUCUUUUAUAUAGCCAUAAUGUCUACACGAGAAGCAUACAAUGGGUAAAUAUUCAUAUUCUACCCGCUGAAGAGCCUCGUUAAUCAAAACCUGGGGUAUUAGAGGCUUGUCUAGAUUCACAUAGACUGCCAACCUUGCAAAUCUUCCCCAAAUCCCAGCGUCAGUGUUGAAAUCCAACUUAGCGACGUUCCCUAUCGUACCCCCUAUUUCCCAUAGGAUUCUCCGCUUAUACAUGUGCCCAAGCAAACCCGGGAGCCGAAUCCAAGCCAUGACCAUGCUUGGAUAACGCUGAGAAGUGCUAAAAUCCUUGAUCCAGGGUUGGACGGUAAGGUACUGCCCAUACACAAUCCAAGGUCCUUGGGAUAGUACCUUCUCAAAGUCCUCCAUACUUUUAAAUUUUGUAACACCCCUAACCUGUAUCCAUUACUAGAUUAAGGUUAUAAGGCAUUACUGUAUAAAAUACAGUUCAGUACACUCAUUCCUCACAUUUCAUACACCAAGAAUUAAUAAACAUUUAAAACUUAUCAAUUUCAAAUAUCCACAUUUCACUUAUUAUAAAUUCGAAUACAUGGGUCAUAAUUCCAAUUCAGAAAUAAUUAAACCUUACCGAACAUAUAUUGCAAAUAAGCACAUUUCAAAAAUUCCACUAAUUCAGUACGAACAUAUAACAAAACCCAACUGAUUAUGUUCCAUAAUUACUAAAUUCGAACCAAACUUGUAUAUAUCAAAGACAUGCUCACAUAUUUCAUACUUCCAAUAUUUAGUUCCUUAUAUCCAUCAUAUUAAUGCCAUUUUCAUAAUUAAAAUCAUAUUCCAUUAUAUAUCAUUACACUUCAUACUUCGAAUAUUUGCCAAUUUCUAUCUCAUUAAUCGUAUAUCAAACAUAUCAUUUGAUAACUUCUGCACAAGUUCAUAAUAAAACCAAUUGAAUCAUAUUACAUGAAUUAUUAUGCAAUCACAUAUGAAACUUAAAUACAUUAUAACAUGGUCGAACAUACUAAUGAUGCAUAUAUAUACAAGUGCGCAAUUCAUCCUAAAAAUAAAAGCCAUACUUAGCACUUGAACACAAAAAUAACACUCCAGCGUGCAUCUAAUUCAUAUCUAUAUUAAUAUACCUAAACUUCAUAUUUUUAUCCUAUUAACUAACCCAAACAUACUUAACCAUUUGAACCCAUACCAAUACAAUCAACCAAAACAAUCAUAAAACAUAUUCAUUACUUACCACUUAGUAACUGAACCUGUUAAGUUAAUAUACUAUCAUCCACCAUUCUAAUUAUUCCACAUUUCAUAUUUCCAAAAUGAGCUAACUAUUAAAACGACUACCAAAACCAAACUCAUUAAACAUUUUAAUUAAAAACAUGUAAAACCAAACUUAAGCAUAAUAAGCAAGUCAUUUUCGCAUGGCUUUAAAUACAUACUCAUUCAAAAUAAUUAACUCCAAGACUAGCCUAUACAUGCCACAUAACCGAGUCUCAAAAUAUUAUUUACUGAAAUGAUAACAGGAUAGUGUAAUGUCGUCUCCAUCGACUUUCCAACCCGAGCAAAUCUCCGAAAAUCUAUAAACAUAAGAAAAAGAAAACACAGAGUAAGCUUUUAAGCUUAGUAAGCUCGUAUCUUAAUAAACUUAACAUAACAAAUACUUUCAUUACAAUGUCGUAAACAUAAUAUGCUAUCUCACACAACCUUUCUAAAUUUCAUAACAUGUUCUUAUAUCAAAUUAUCAUCAUUCAAUAUUAUACUUACUCACUUAACCAACUUUAACUUUCACAAAAUUAUUCAAUUAAAUUUUCAUACAUCAACCCUUUCACACUUUCAUAUAGCCAAAUGAACACAUUAUGGGAAAUAACACAUUUAAUUAUAUAUCUUUCUCAUAUGAAUCUCGUAUGAUCAUUUAUAAUCAAAUUCACUUUUCAUUCAUAUAGCAUCUGACAAAUUUCACAUAUCUAACUUUACAAAUCACAUCUUAUUCAUUCAUUUAUGUUUCAUCGGCACAUAAUCAUAUUUCAUUUCCACAUACAUCACAAUACAUUCUUUCCACAUAUACUUCCUUAUUUUCAAAUAGGUAAUCAAUUAUCACGUACCUGAUCGUUUUAGCUCAUUUAACGUAUUCAACAACCAUAUCAGCAAUAAAGCUUUUAGGCAUAAACUUAUAAUAAUUCACCGGCAUAAAGCCUGCUAGGCCUAAGCCUGUAUCUCACACCAUCACAAGGCCUGCUAGACUCAAAGUCUGAUUUUAUACACCGGAAAUAAGCAUGCUAGGCAUAAGCCCGAUUUAAUUCACCAGCACAAGGCUUGUUAGGCUCAAAGCCCGAAUAUCACCAUUAUAAAGUCGUCUCAUAAACAAUUCAUAUAAUAUAGCAUGUAUACUUAUUCACUUUGCUCGAUUUAAUCAUUCAAUCAAAAUUUAUAAUUUCCCUUUGAAUCAUUCGAUAUUUCGCACACUAAGUGUCAUUCUCAAUAUCUCGCACACUAAGUGCCAUUCUCAAUAUUUCAUACACUGAGUGCCAUAUUUGAUUGCCCCGCGCACUAAGUACCACAUUUAGUUGAUAUGUCGUCAGACAUUAAAAUAUUCACGUCUAUACAAUUUAUACGAUAUUAAAGCAUUAGAAGCAUAAAUUUAACAAUGCUUAUUGUAUAGAACUUACCUGGCUAAAUUGUAGAGAUACCAAAGUUUAGGGGCAUUUUGGUAAUUUUCUCAUUUUCCUCGAUUUUCCACCCGAUCUUGAUCUAAAUUAAUAAUUUCAUUCAAUAUAUUAAUUUAGACAGUAAAACACUUCAUUUCAUACAAUUUGGUCAAUUUUUCAUUUUUACAAAAUUACCCUUAAAGUUUUACUUUUAUUCAUUUUUAGUCCCUGAGCUCAAAACAUGCAAAUUAACCAUUUUUAACCAUAAUUAAGCUUAGCCGAAUGUUCAUGGUAUCAAAACAAUCCAUAAUUUACUUUAUGGAAAAAUUAUAGUUUUGCCCCAAAUAUUUCAACUUCUUUACAAUUUAGUCCCUAUAUCAUAAGAGUGCAAAUUCAUGAAAUUGAGUAAAAGUAUACUAUAGCCGAAUAUCACUAGUGUCUCUAGCAGCCCACACAUUUCAUUUAUUUGACAUUUUAACCACAAAUUUUUCACAUUUAUCAAUUUAGCCCUUAAUUGUCAAUUUCACAAAAAUUCACUUAACAAAAAGUGUUUAACUACCAACAAGGACUCAUAUUCUUCCAUUAAAAUUCAAAGCCCUAUUAUACUCAUCAAUGGAAAAUAUCAAACUAUUCAAUGGUUUUACAAAAUAGCCCCCUCAUUAGAUAGAUUAAACAAUAACAAUCCCGAAAAUAUAAAAAUAAUUAAAAACGGGACUAGAAAUGCGUACCAUGCAUUAGCCGAAAGUUGGAAGCUUCUCCCAUGACUUCUCAAGCUUUCAUAUUCGGCUGGUAAAAAGAGAAUGAAAAAGAUGACACCUUGAUUCUUUUAUUUCAUUCAUUUUAUUAUUUUUUAACCAAUUUACAAUAUUAACCUUUAUACACUUUAUUUAUUACACCAAAUGCCAAGCCAUCAUAUCCCACUAUCUCUUUAAUGGGCUAAUUACCAAAUAAGGACUUCCACUUUAAAGUUCUAUAGCUAUUUAAUACCUUUAGCUUAUAGAACACAACUUUGGCACUUUACGCGAUUUAGUCCUUUUUGCUUAAUUAACUAUCGAAACGAUAAAAUUUUUCAACAAAACUUUAAUACCAUCUUAUUGCCACUACAUAAAUAUUUAUAAAAAUAUUUUCGACUCGGUUUAUAGAAACAAGGUCCCGAUACCUCAUUUUCUAAACCCACUUGACCUUAGGGUCAUACCACUUAAACUUAAUAAAUCACUUAUAAAACAAAAAUCACAAUAUCAAAAACAUUUUUAAAAUCACAAUUAACUCGUAAAUAUAAAAUAUAAUAUUUACAAACCUACUCGUCAGAUUUGGUGGCCCUGAAACCACUAUUGAUUAACCCUAAAAACGGGCUGUUACAACUCUCCCCCCUUAGGGAUUUUCGUCCUCGAAAAUCUUACUAGAGAAUAAAUUAGUGAUUUUCUUUCACCAACCUCAACAAUUUCUCACCUAGCCUCAAAUUUCUCAACUUUUCAAUCUCAUGAGCUAAGAUUAUGAUAUGCUCUUUGUUAUACAUCAUAACAAGCUGAGUUUCUACUUCUGUAAGAGAUACUAUAGAUAGAGGAUCUUAUUUGUAUCAUCACAUCAUAUAUAUAAGAAACACAUUACGGGUCUUCUCAAGUUCUGAUAAUAAUCUCAUUCAAUCCGAUGAAUUGCGAACUCAACUUCUCUUUAUAGCUAAAUCUAGAAAUUCUAUUCCCACUAUAAUACUUUUACAAAUACUCAAUUUUCUAAUUGAAAAUUCAAUGCUUUUACGCAUCAAGCCCACAUAUAUUUUCUGCAAAUCUAAAACUGCUUUUAGACGGUCAUGAAUUACUUUCAUUUCCCCUCAGUCUUUCCAAUCACAUCGACCCCAAAAUUCUUUUUAUAAAAAUUCAAUUCAAUACAACGAAUUUCAGUAAUUGCAACAAUACCACACUCAUACAAUGCUAUCUUAACAUUCAUCUCAUAACUAUUAUUAUUAUACUCAAACUUAACCAACAAUAAAUGUCUUUCUCGGUUGUUUUCAAGUUCUAGAACACAGUGUUACAAAGUAAUUCCAUACCCAAAGCUCACAGUAGUUUAUUUUAGUAACACAAUAUAAUCCUUAUGUCUUCAUUUGAACAAUGAAAACUGGCACUCUUUUAGUACUCCCCGUACGGACAGAUAAUUACCACUGUACUAGAUGUCACAAUUGUUGUAAAAUCUCUGGAUUUCUUAAUACACAAACUCUAUCUCGACACAAUGAACGAUUGUCGGUUCCAAUCUGAAAUUCUAAAUCAGAAGUCAAUUUACGUUGUACCCUUUUUAACUUGUAAUUCACUGACACACCUCUUAGCCUCACAAAUUUGCUAAUUAAACAUCAAUUUAGUUUCUAGCUCAGCCAAUAACUACUCAUCAUUUGAUAAGAUUAAUCACAUGAUUAUCUGUCGUAAAACACAUAAAUAUUCUCGCUCAGAACCCCAAAGACUAUAAUCAUUUGCCCAGAUUGAUAAUCAAUCACUGACUCAUAAUCUUUCAACAGUUCAAACCAUCUUUAAUUCUUGUGUCGAAUAACUCUUUACCUGAUGCAGGCUAAACCAGAACUAACGUUUCAAUUAACAAUGUCUUCAACUGUUGACCACUUUAUUAAUAAAUAUCACAUCAUUCAGACUUCCCAAUCACGAUCUAUAAGAACAUUUCUCAAUAAAACCAUUCUGAUGGAUAUAAUUAUGUAUCAUAUUUUCUAGAAUAUGAAUCCUGCAUUCAGAAUAUUCAUCUAUUUAUCUGUGAACAUUCAAAGUUUGUUUCCACCCUGUAGAUAGAUUCAGAUACAAGUAACUCGAUUAAUCCUUCAAGCAAUUAAUCCAAUCAAACUAGACAACUGAAUCGAUCUCGACUAUCAAGUAAUAACUUUUCAAUUAUUAAUCAACGAAGCUUUGAACCAUACUGAAGCCAUAACCAUCAGAUAAAUUAAAAUCAUAGUGCCAUAAUAAGGCUGACAUCUCAACCGUAGAUAUAUAAUGUCCCAAUUAUCAAUAAUGCAUUUUGAACAUAAGAGAAAUUGAAAUAUAAUUACAGUUAUUCAAUAGAUAUUUUUCACAGAUAACCAUAUAGAAUCAUAAGAAAGUAGAGAUAUUGUAAUUCUCAAAUAUAUCACUAUACUGAUCUUUUUAAGAAAGCAGCCAUAUCAGAUGGCAGAUAUCUCAAUGAUGUCUCAGAGGAAAUCCAAAAGUAAAGCAUCACUCAUAUGCACCGGAAUCAACAGUAACAGAAACAAUAUAAUCUUCAUGUAUACUAAGCAGAUCAACAACCAGUAGGAGCAUAAUACCAGCAUCACACAGAUUUAAUCGUCGAUCUUUUCUUUCAAUAAAAUGAAAUAGAAUACUAGAGAAAGAUAUAAUAAUGCCGAUUGUAACCCGAACAGCCCAACAAUACUUUCAUAUAUCAAUAUAUAUAGAUAACGUUCUCAUAUGAUAAGAAUUUCAUCUAAAAAUAUAUAGCUUCACAUACCUCUAAGGAUAAUUGAACACAUAGAGUACCCAGAAGAGUUCUUGUAAACCAUUCGACUAUAAUCGCUGUGCUCAAAUAUCUUUAUAAUUCAAAUAUGAUUCUACUGUCUAUCUCUGACAUCACUAAUUUCUCAUUAUCCCAACACUAACAGAGGCCAAUUCAAAAGAACUUCCAGUUAAUAUAUUCUUUAGAUAUCAUACCUGAAUAUUUGGUUUCAUCUAAUUCAACUUUUCUUUUAACAGUGACUUUGCAUAUUACAAAUGGCCUUCAACACGAUCCAAUAUCUUUUCUGUUGUCUUCACUUGUGGACUCAUUCUCUUAUCUGAUCACAGUACUAAUCCUUCAAUCACAAGACUCUGUCAUUCCACACUUGUAAGCUUAUUUAAGCCAUAUAAUACGGAUUUCAUUACAAUACUUCACGAUGAGGGGGUGAGGGUCAUAAAGCCUCAAAUUUAUCUCCCAUAUAUACAUGCACAUCAGACAUACUAUUAUGAAUGGCCAAUUCAUUACUAAUUCCACAUUCUCAAAACACCUAACCAUCUUUUACUUAUGAUCACUUUUGUACUCAACACAUAAUUCAUACGCUAAAUCAAAUCAUUAAUUCAUAAUCAAAAUAUUCACGUAAUAAUCACAUACCAAACAUCACAACUCAUAUUCAUAUAAUUAUAACAUUUAUCAAUAGCAGAAUAUCAUGCAUUCUGAUUUAUACCUUUAUGAGUUUCAACUCAUCACCAACACAUUUUCACUCAAGCGUUUGAGUAUAGCAUUCUGUACUAUCGGAAUUAGCUCGGUUGGAAAGCAUAUCUGUCUCAUCAAAAUAAUUUUCGUCAGAGUCGGGAGAUAUCACACUAUCACAGGUUAAAUGUGGC
RNAcentral lists this long non-coding RNA (86893 nucleotides) under Gossypium barbadense (sea-island cotton). RNAcentral's name for it is "long non-coding RNA (GBAR_LNC000453)". The record is from RNAcentral. Lineage: Eukaryota; Viridiplantae; Streptophyta; Magnoliopsida; Malvales; Malvaceae.